AUGCUAUGAUGUCAUUUGACUGGACAGCUGCAAAGUUCUUUUGGUAUAUAUUCUACAUGUACUUCGCAUUAUUGUUCUUCACCUUAUAUGGCAUGACGGCUGUGGCUGUGACACCAACCCACCACAUUGCUUCCAUUGUUUCGACUUUAUUUUUUGGAUUGUGGCUCCUCUUUUCCGGGUUUAUUAUCCCAAGACCCGUAAGUAUUAAUUGUCUUCCCAUUUCAAUUUUAUAUGCUAGAUUUUUCUAACUUACAGAUAUUUUGCUACUAAUUCUUUUCUCAUCUUUCAACUUGUCAAACAACAGAGGAUUCCAAAAUGGUGGAGAUGGUACUACUGGGCAAACCCUAUAGCUUGGACCCUGUAUGGAUUGAUUGCUUCGCAAUAUGGGGAUGUGGAGGACAAAAUAGAAACUGGUGAAACAGUGAAACAUUUUCUUAGAGAGUAUUAUGGUUUCAAACAUAGCUUUUUGGGAGCAGUCGCAGGUGUUCUUAUUGCCUUUGCAGCGCUCUUUGGAAUUCUCUUUCCCCUAGGAAUUAAGCAAUUUAAUUUCCAGAGGCGAUAGGAAUUUGAUUUGGCUUUGAAGAUCAAGUCUGGCUUAAUGGAACAUGUACUGCUAUCAAACAUUCUAAGGCACACGGAGGAAUCGGGUCCCAGAUGCCUUAACUAAUCCCGGUCUUUCAGUUUCCUGAGUUUACCUGUUGGUACCUUUUUCCCCCAGUUUUCAUAUAGCAAUAACAUCAAGUUCUUUUUAAUAGGGGACAGCACAUCUAGCCUUUCUGCAUUUUAUAAGUUUACUCUUUUUGCCUGCGGUUGUUAUUUGUUCGAUAUUCAAAUGUUGUUUCUUUCUUCAUAAUGCAAAUAGUAGUGUGCAGAAAAUAAAUAAAAGAAAUCUGUGAUUAAUUAAUGUGACUAAAAAGGAUCAUGUUUAACUAAGUCAAAUCAACAAGUUUGUAACUUAGCAUGUGAAAAUCCACAUUCUUGCUCUUCCAAUUGCAUCUAAAUUAUUGAUUUCCUUUGUUAAAAAAAAUUAAAUAAGUCAGGCCGCACUGUUGACAUUAUUGUAUCCUCCUCCAUCAUGAAGUUUUGUCUAAUAAAUCGAUCUUUCCAAUAUCCUAUUUCAUUAUUAAUAAGAUCAGCAACCAAGAUUUAAGAAGCAAUAGCUGCGGAGAGAAUGAAUCGAAUGUGCUGUGAGCCUGUAACCCAAAUUGCUUUCCAUAAAUAGCAAAACACACAUACUUAAUUCUUCAUUUUUACCCAGAUGUAGAACUUUUAAAUUAUAAUUAGUCUCGUACUUGCGUUUAGAAUUUUUUUUUUUUUCUCAGAUGCUGAUAAAUGGAUCAAAAAUCUUGUUGGGACUUGAAAUCCAGCAAAAAUUUUCCAGCCCAGUGCCUGCCAGAACCCAUCGUAAUGUUAUAAAAGUUGAAGUUUACCUUGAAAUCUAAAGUCCAUCUCGAUGCUUGUCACGAUUUAACUCAAUGUCUGUAUCAAAGUCUGGUCCAAAAAUCCACUCGAAAACAGAAGAAGAAAUGUGUGCUCCUACAUACACGAAUAAAAACUCAAACCCUUGACAUCAAGAACAAAAAAAUAAGGUUUCCGCUACUUACCGGCUCAACCAAUGAGUGGUUUUGCAGUUUUUAUAUUUGACGUUAAAUAUCGUUUUAAUGUUGAUCCUAAUUUAAUAAAUAGUAAUGAUUAGUUGGCUGUUUGGUAAGGCUUAUCUAAUGGUCAUAUGUGUUUAUAUAAUUUGUUCUUUUUAAGGCUUUUAUUAUUAUGUGGAGUAGAGUCUUUGAAAAUUAAAUAAGUUAUUUUGUUUCUACUAGCAAACUUUAAAUUUUAGACUUUUGGGAAUAGAUGUUGAAAUUUUUUUUAAAAUAUUGAAAUGUGUAAAAUAUCUUUGACACGACUUGUCCUGAAUCAUUUUGGGCGAGUCUAUUUGGUUGCGAUUAACUAUAUUGAUAUUAAACUUAUUAAUGAGAAUUCUACUGAAAAUCGAGCAAAGUCUCCCGUAUCAAUCUAAUAUUCUCAACCUGCAAAUUUAUAAAACGAACACUCCCAAAAGGAUUCAAUAUUCAAUCAACAUUUACAACCAAUUUCCUUAAUUGAAAUACCAAAUAUCAUCCAAACAUCUAAUAUCAAAAUACAGUAGAUUAUCCAUAAUCACAAAAUAUAACAAAAUUAUAUAAUCUAAAAUAUCUCAACAAAAACAUCUCGACUUCUAGCACUAUCACUGCUAUAAUUUCAAAAUAACUAUCAUUGCUAGGUUGAUUGUUGUAAUUGCAAAUAUCCUGUCAGGGGAGAGCGAAAUGUAAUAAAACGGGUGAGUAUAAAACUCAGUUAACUCAAUGAGUGGAUAAUAUUUUUUGAAAAUAAUCUUACUUAAAAUAAAUUAAAUCUUUUCGCUAAACAAUUUCAUCAAAUAUCAUAAGAACUUAUAUAAACUAAUUAAAAUUAAACCAUGUACUGAUAUAACAACAAUACAUAAUGCUGCAUAAAAUCAAAGAAAUCGUAACACUUAUAAUAUCAAAUAGUAAAUGCCAAAACUAUCACUAAACAAGUACCUAGGGUAAUAAUCUUGUCACACCCAGACCUCUACGGACGGUGCAAUAACAUACUAUUUGGGUACCAUCAUGUCUGAAGCUAUACAAAUAGACAGGGAAAUGUCAUUUCAUAUCUCAUACUUGGAUCUCCACAAAUUGUGCAAUGAUAUACUAUUUGGAUACCAUUUUGUUCAAAACUACACCGGUUAUCUCAUACCUCAUCAAAUCUAUGCAUGCAUAAUCUAGUCCUCAAAUGACAAAAUGUGUCCAAAUACACACCUAAAGCCUCUGUGUAUACUCAGACGAGUCCCAAAAACCUUGUAUCUCAGUAUAUGUAUCACUGUUAUCAUCAUAUUGCAUGCAUAUGCCCCCAAAAGGUAUAAGCGCCCAACACACACGGUUCAAAGUCUCUAUAUUUAGUCAGAUGGGCCCCAAAGGCAUCUCAUUUCAUAUGUAUAACUAUAUCUGGAGGGAAAGAGUACUGUCCAAUAAUUUUAAAAAUAAUCUUUAUACUCAUAUUCAUAUACUUUUUAACCAUACUUUUUUUUUAAGGAAAAAGACUUCAUUACGGAAAAGAGAGUAAACACAUAACUUGUGAUGGUAUAUUUUCCAGCCAUACAACAGAUUCUGAACCUGUUAAUGCUAUCUUAGCCAAGGUAUGGGCAUUAGCAUUACAAGACCUAAGGGGGUGUUGAAAUCUGAUUUCCUAGAAAUCUUUUCGUCUCUCUUUGAUUUCUGAUAUCACCCAAAAUAUCUCAGUUUUGCUAUCCUUUCUGUUGUUUGCCAAAUCAAUGGCCGCUUGACAGUCUGAUUCCAAAAUGACUGCAGUGAUGCCUGCCUUUUUUGCCACUUGCAUUCCCCAUUCAAUUGCUUCAGCUUCUGCAAAAGGCACAUCUCCGUUGAAACUUGAGGGCUUAAUGGCUGCAGCAAAUGGCUGCAGCAACCACAUCUCAAUUGCUUCAGCUUCUGCAAAAGGCACAUCUCCGUUGAAACUUGAGGGCUUAAUGGCUGCAGCAACCACAUCUCCCUUAUCAUUCCUUAUCACCACUCCCAACCCAGCUCUUUGACUUUUUAACCAUACUUUGAAUCAUACUUUUCUUUUUAUUAACCCAUUUGAAUCCACUUUUCUUAUUUUUAAAAUACUAUCACGUUUUAUUCAAAGUCGAUACGGAAAAAACCAUUAACCAUACACUUUUUAAUAAUAUACCAAUACGUAUAUAAAAUCUAUUUCGAGAAAAUCAUUAAAUUCGAGUAUUAAAAUAUUUAUUUCACAAACAUACUUUACUAUCAUAAUAAACUAUAAAAAUAGGUUUUGUAUAUUUCACUCAUAGUGACGGUGCUCAAACUCGAAUAUCGUUCACGUCCGCAGAUCAAUUCUCAAUCGCGAUUCCUCUUACAUCAAGAAAACGACAUAAUUACUUUAUGUAAAUGCAAAGUGCAACUAACAACUUUGAAAUGACAUUUAUUUGCAAUAAACCAUUCAUAUAAAAUUACCAAAAUAUCCCUACAUUCCUAAAGUACUAAAAUACCCUUAAAAUUUUAAAUUACCAAAUUACCCUCAUAAUCCUAAAUUACCAAACUAAACUGAAUUCAGAUUGCCAAAAUAUCCACAAAAUUUGAAUUUACGAAAUUACCCUCAGAGUCUAAAACUACCUAAAUGCCCUUGCCCGUCAACGGUGAUCGAAAUUCAAGAGCGGCAACCGGGAGGUUCGGGUUAGACACUUCUGGCCGAGCUGAGUUCAAUGGUGCCGGCGUGAGCACCAACGCCGGAUCAAGCUCCCAAAUCCGUGAAUCCUCCGACGGCCGAUCGACAGCAAAUUGGCUCCCCCGGUAGCUGUGGAUGAUCGGAAAUGGAAGGUGAUGAUGUGAGGAGUAAAACCCAGCAAGUGGCUUGGCCAAAAUCCGGUGAAAUCAAUGGCGAUCAUGGAUUCUUCGCGGUAUUUUGUGGCUUAGUUUGGCGGCCUUCUUUCCGGUUACCGGCGACGUGGAUGUGUCUGAAACGAAGGCCGGCUUAAGAGCUUUCCAUUGGUACCUUCCUUCGCCAGUGGGGUGGCCGAAAGUGGGAGUUACGAGCGGGUCGGUUUUGCGUCAAAAGCGUCGGGUUUUCUGGUAAAAAAUGGGUCAACGGGUCAGCUGCUCCUCCCUCUCUCAAUCGGGUCCCACUUUUUUAUUAAAAGCUUAAUACAAAUUAAGCUGAUACCAGUAGGGGUGGGCAAAAAAAGCUGAUUAAUCAAAAAUCGAACCGAAUCGUUCGAUUCGGUUCGGUUUUUUUGUGGUUUUUUUACAUCUAAAAAAUCGAAAUAGUAAUUUAGUAGAAGUAGUAAAAUCAGUCGGUUCGGUUUUCGAUUUAAAAAAAAACCGAAAAACCGAACCGACCACAGGAAAAAACCGAACGCAAAUUUGAUUUUUACACAAUCCCUAAUCGAACACAUUCUUAAUUCUUCUCAUCUUCUGAUCUUCACAAACCUUCACCGCUGGAAUCUCGUCCCCGCUGCUGCUGCUACUGCUGCUCAUCCUUCACGAACCUUCACCGCUGGAAUCGUGUCCCCGCUGCUGCUGCCGCCGCUGCUCAUCCUUCAUGAACCGUCACCGCUGGAAUCGCGUCCCCGCUGCUGCUCAUCCUUCACGAACCUUCACCACUGGAAUCUCGUCCCCGCUGCUGCUGCUGCUGCCAUCUGACUGCUGUUGUGAGCUGCUGCUGGUAACUUGAGCUGCUUGAGCUUGAGCUGUUUUUGCAGAGAACUUGAGCUGCUGCUGGCGUGAAAAGGUAAUCAAACAAACAGCUGCUGCUGCUGGCGUUAAAAGCUCCCUUUGUUUUUACUGGUGCCAUUGGUUUUAACCAAUUUCCACGAUUCUUCUUCGACUCCAAUUUGGAGAUAACAGUGCAAUUUGGUGAUGAACAUAAAUAAAAUCAAAACUCAAGUUUCGAUUAAUUUUAUUUAAUUUUAAUUUGUAAAGUGCCACAUAAUUCAACUUGUGAUUGUGUUUUGGCUUUUCACGUGCUAUUGACACGCUUUCUUAGAAAUUUGUUUCGUUUUCUUUGAAGGCAAAUUUGAAGAACACGUUGAUUAAUAUGUUUUGCCUUUUUUAUUGUCUUCACAGCAGAAUAAACAAAUGGCCGUUUGCAGCAUGCAGUUUUAAGCUUGAAAUAAACUUGUGCUUAUAAAAUUAUUCCCCUGGUGAUCUUUGUCCUUUUUAUAACUUUGGGAAUGGGAAAAUGAAUUUUUGUAGUGUCUGGUUUCCAUGUGCAUGUGGAUUUCCCAUUUAGUUCCUCUGAUUGUUGUGGUAUGUUCAGAAUUUUGUAAAAACACUGUGAUUGUUGGAUCUUUAUAGUAUGUAUUCUUGUUUGCAGUUGUUUGACUUGUUUCUACGGAUAGUUUCAUUGUUUUCUAACUUACUCUGUACCGUUUAAACUUAUUUAAAUAUUUGUUCCAUGAUUGAGUUUUUCUCUUUUAUUAGUUGCUUAAUUCCUUAGAUUAUGUUUCUUUUAAAAGACUUUUUGCUUAUUUAUUUUGAUUUGAACUUGUUAUUUAAACAUGUUAUAUGUUCUUGAAUAUACUUUGAGACAUAUUUUGAUUUUUUAUUUGUUAACUUUUUAUGUUUAUGGUAGAUUUAUUAAUUUAAGGUUUUAAAUUUAAAAAAACCCAAAAUAGGCCCAAUAGGCCCAUAAUCGAAAUAAUCGAACCGAACCGAAUCGAAUUAUUUCAAUUAAUCGAGUAUUUGAUUAUUUCGGUAAUUUGAUUAAUCGUGAUUAUGAUUUUAAAAUAAUCGUAAUCGAACGAUUAUGAAAAAUUUAGUAAAAAACCGAACCGAACCGAACCGCGCCCACCCCUAGAUACCAGACCCGAGUCUUAAAAUAAACUCUGACUACAUGGCCAUUCAAUCGCAUUCGAAUUGUCUCUAUUUUAUGUCAUGACAAACUUAAAUUAUUCCAAACACGAACCAUUUAUUAAAUCUAUAAAAUUUUAUAACAUAUAUCUAUUUAUUCAUAUCGAGAAAUCAAGUUGUGUCAAUUUUUGCCAAUGAGAAAUUGUAAUAAGUCUAGUGACUUUAAAAUAUAUUUUAUGCUAAAGGAGAAAAAUAAUACACUUAAUUAAAGAAAUAAAGUGCAUAUGUUAUAAUCUUUUACUUAUUUAAUUAUUUUAUUUCAUUUCUUUCUUAACACAAUUUUUAAAAUCUACUUAUUAAAAAAUCUACUUGUAAAAUCUCUAACAAUAAAAAAUUUAUUUAAACAAGCUUUAUUUGAAAAGUUAUAUCAAAUCAAGCUUAACUUAAUAUGGUAAUUAUAUUUAAGUUGUCACAUCUACUGGACUCAAAUACUAGAAUAAUAGUUGAGAAUAACAGAGAUGGGUGAGGCUAUUUAAACUCAUAAUUUUACUAAUUAAAUAUGUUUUCUCAAUAAACCCACCAUUAAAAUUCAAAUAUUAGAUUUUUACUGUAUACACCCUAUAAAAUCUAAAAAAUAACCUCAACUAAAAUAGGAGGAUUGCCACUUUCCCCCUUACAGUAAUCAACAUAUACCAUUUACCCCUCUACUGUUUUUAUAAUGGCCAAAAACCCUCCUGACAGCAUAAGUUAACAAUAUUACCCUUAUUUUCAAUUACUCUUUUAUUUACAUUUAUUAAAAAAAAUAACAUGAAUAUAAACUAAAUAAAAAAAAUUAAGUAUUAAAAACAAGAAAUAUAUGUUUUGAUGUGAGUAAAAAAAUUAAUAAUAAAAUUUUUUCUUAUAAUUAUUUAUUUUGUGAACAUUUUCUUAUAAUAAAUAUUUUGUGAUAUUUUAAAGGAAAAUUUACACCCGUCCACCUGUUUGUUUUGCCUUUUUCAAAAAUACACAAACACUUUUUUUUUGUAGCGCGCCACCUGAAGUUUAUUUUUUGUUGCAUUCAUCCACUUCCGUCUAAUUUCCGUUAGUGGAUUUAACGGAAUAUUAAUGAAAUGACAUUUUUACCCCUCAAAAUUAUAAUUUAACCCAAAAUAAAUGGAAAUUGGAGAUAAAUUGGAUGGAUUUAAUUUUUUUAAAGGUGGAUACUAGAAAUUGGAGGAAAAUAGUGUUUGUUGCUUGCUAAAUUUAGAAAAUUUGUAUUUAUUUUUUUGAAAGACAAAAAAAUAAAUACCAAAAAAAUAAAUACAAAUUUUCUAAAUUUAGCAAGCAACAAACACUAUUUUCCUCCAAUUUCUAGCAUCCACCUUUGAAAAAAAUUAAAUCCAUCCAAUUUAUCUCUAAUUUCUAUUUAUUUUGGGUUAAAUUGUAAUUUUGAAGGGUAAAAAGGUCAUUCCGUUAAAUUCACUAACGGAAAUUAAACGGAAGUGGAUAAAUAGUGGAAAAAUGCAACAAAAAGCAAACUUCAGGUGGCGCACUGAAAAAAAAAAAGUGUUUGUGUAUUUUUGAAAAAGACAAAACAAACAGGUGGACGGUUGUAAAUUUCCCUAUUUUAAAAUUAAAUGUAAAAAGUAUAGGUAAAAUAUUUUAUUAUUUAUCUUAUAAUAAAUUUUUAUUUGUCAUUCACGUUUUCUUAUAAUAAUGUUUUUUGAUCAUUUUAUAAUAAUUUUCUUAUAUUUUUAUUAUAAGAAAAUUUUCACAAAAUAAAUAAAAGAAAAAAAUUUUAUUAUUAAUUUUUUUGCCCAUAUCAAAAUAUAUAUUUCUUAAUAGGGAAAUUUACACUCGUCCACCUGUUUGUUUUGCCUUUUUCAAAAAUACACAAACACUUUUUUUUUUUUCAGCGCGCCACCUGAAGUUCACUUUUUGUUGCAUUCUUCCACUUCCGUCUAAUUUCCGUUAGCAAAUUUAACGGAAUGACCUUUUUACCCCUCAAAAUUACAAUUUAACCCAAAAUAAAUGGAAAUUGGAGAUAAAUUGGAUGUAUUUAAAUUUUUUCAAAGGUGGAUGCUAGAAAUUGGAGGAAAAUAGUGUUUGUUGCUUGCUAAAUUUAGAAAAUUUGUAUUUAUUUUUUUGAAAGAGAAAAAAUAAAUACAAAUUUUCUAAAUCUAGCAAGUAAUAAACACUAUUUUCCUCCAAAAAAAUAAAUACAAAUUUUCUAAAUUUAGCAAGCAACAAACACUAUUUUCCUCCAAUUUCUAGCAUCCACCUUUGAAAAAAUUUAAAUACAUCCAAUUUAUCUCCAAUUUCCAUUUAUUUUGGGUUAAAUUGUAAUUUUGAGGGGUAAAAAGGUCAUUUCGUUAACAUUCCGUUAAAUCUACUAACGGAAAUUAGACGGAAGUGGAAAAAUGCAACAAAAAGCAAACUUCAGGUGGCGCACUGAAAAAAAAAAAAGUGUUUGUGUAUUUUUGAAAAAGGCAAAACAAACAGGUGGACGAGUGUAAAUUUCCCAUAAGGGUAAUAUUGUAAACUUAUGCUAUCAAAAGGGUUUUUGACCAUUAUAAAAAUAGUAAGGGGGGAAAUGGUAUAUGUUAAUCACUUGGUCAAUCUCUGUAGCCUCUCUAAAAUAGGUAAUUUCUUUAUCUAACUUCCUGUAGAGUUCAAUUUAUUUUUAAUUAAUUGACAAGAGAUUAAAGCGUGAACGGGGCAAUCUUCUUAAAACCAAGGACAAUUUGAACUUUUUUGUUUUUCUCUUGCCCUUGUGGUUUUGUUUCAUAUAUAAUAAUAAUACUGUUGGCUUUACCGAAAGAAUUUUAAUAUAAAAUAACGUCUUCAUAAUGUAGGGUGAGAACAUGACAUACAAGAAAUCUAGUAGUUGUGCCUGUAAUUGUUCUUUGCUUUGUUUCUUGAUUACCAAAAUUUGAAGUUUAUGUAAAGAAGAAGAGAAGAAAAAAGAGAAAAAAAAAAAAGCAACAUCAAGUUCUUUCUCAGGCAAAAACCUGCAGAGAGAAUUAUAGUUCUUUGUUUUGGGAAUUCUUCUAUAAACUAUUUUACAUUUUUUUUUUCAUUAAUGGAUCUAUAUGCAUGAGAGAAAGAGUAGAUAUGGUUUAUAAAAAAAAUGGGUAUAAUUAAAUUAUAGUUUUUAUUUGUUUAGAUCCUAUUGUUCUUUUAUGUAAUUUUAUUUAAGGAUAAAUCAAUGAUUAAAAAUUUUGUUGAAUGAUGGGUUCAAAGAGUAAAUUAAUGGGUUCAAAUAGCCUCGCCCAAUUGAGAUUCCUAUAUCAUUAUUGUUGAAAUUUAAAUUUUCAAAGCGCUCAUAUUUCCCAAAUUAACUUUAAUUAGAUAUUCAUUCCUUUCUGAUUUUAAAUUAGUUUUUCAAAUCCAUAAAAUUUUCUAAUACUUUUUCAUUGAGGGUGAUAUUUGACCCCUUAGUUUCGCUAAGUAGUCCCCACUAUGCAAUUAACCUCACUUAUUUAAAAAAUGAUUGUUAUAAAAGAUAAAAAUAUAAUUAAAAUGAAAGCACAGAGGUAAAAUUGGAAUGAAACCUCACAUCAAUUAUUCUUAUUAAUAAACCUCAAGAUAGACAAUCAUUAUUCAUAUUCCAACUGAAUCCUUACGUAAAAUAUCUGAAAUAAAGUCUCUAAAAAAACGUCUCUAAUCCAAAAUAAAAAGUCUAGCUAAAUUUAAUCUUUACUGCAACUCCAAAAUCCACCAAAAAAAAAUCUUCAUCUAAGUAGCCAAGCCACAUCUCUAAUCAAUCUACAAAAUAUUGGAGACGAGGGUGAGCCGUCAACUCGGUAAGCAAAUCCAUGCACAAUAUUUGAAAACAUUUGUCAUUAUACCUUUAAACAUUUUAUAUCAUCUUAUAAUAACAUCUUCAUUUAGCAUAAUGGAUGGAUUCAUAUAAAAGCAUUAAAAAAUAUUAAAACAUAAACAUUUGGUAGCUCAUGCCUCAUAAUUAUCAUCAUUCAUCAUUUAUGGUACUAUACCCCACAUUAUUCAUCGUUGAGGGUACUAUACCCUGCAUUGUUCAUAGCAUCAUUAUGUACAAGAUCAUCACCAUACCAGCAAGCUGGCCAUAGCAUUACAUAAAAUCAUAACAUUUGCAUCUUAUACGUUACUACAGACUAUAAGUCAAAAUAUUUUUGAAUCCACCUUACAUCCUUUCAUAAAUAGCAUUUAAGGUCUUCUAAAACAUUUAAGAACCUUUUUUUGAUCAUUUAAUUCUUUAGAAAAUUUUUAAGAAAACAUUUUGUUUAAGAAAACUUAUUUCUUAAGAAAAAUCAUUUUAAAAUAUAUUUAUAUAAAUUCAUUUAAAAGUGUUUUUAUUUUACAAAUUUCAUUUAAAUAUUUUAGAAAUCAAUUUUGUAAAAAUUUCCAUUUAAACAUAAUUCUUAUAACAUAUAUUGCAUUUAUUAUAAAGCACAUCAUGCAUCAAUCUACUUAUCUCGAUCUGCAGCAAUCAACUCAAUACCUCAUAACAAACCAAUGAGUUCACAUGUGUCCUUAAGGCAAACACUAAACAAAGAAGUUAUAAAACCUUUUUUUCCUUCUCCAAAGACUUAUGUUUCUUUUUUUUUUUUUUAGGAUUUUAUAACGGUAUAAAAAAUAAAAGAAGGCUUCCUCUGAACUAUUUUUGGUAAUUAAUAAAUAUUUUUUAAAAAAAAAUAGAAAGCAAGAAAACGAGAGUUUUAAGAAAAUUCAUUUUUUAAUAAAAGCUAAUAACCUACGUAACUUAUUUAAAACAAAUUGAUAAGUUUUACUCACACACAAAUACCCAAUAUUAACUAUUCUAACCAAUUUAAUAAGGAUAAAAAAGGGAAGCACAUAACUAGCGUUACAUACACCCCCAAGGUUUAGGAAAAUUUUCAUAAAGACCCCAAGUUUUCAAUAAGAGACACCGAGACCUUUUUUUUACUAUAAUACCCUGCGACUCUAUAAAUCCCCAAAACAAUAACCCUAAAAAAUUUUAAUAAAUGGAAAUAUAACAUUAAAAUAAAUGUAAUAAUAUAUACAUUUCAAAAUAAUUUUAAUAUUUAAAAAUAUUUUUAUAUUUUUCAAUCUAUUAGACAUUUUUUUAUAUUAAAGUAAUUUUUAAUAAUAGAUAGAACUGCUGUACGGCCAAGGCGGAUGUACGGAUAUAUUAUUAAAAUAAAUAUAAUAAUUUAAAAUUUUAAUAAUAUUUUAAAUUUCACAAUUAAUUUAAUAUUGUUAGUCUACUAGAUAGACUAUAUUAUUUAUAUUAAAUUUGUGUUAAUUAAAAACCUUUAAAGUCAAUUUUCUACUUAUUAUAAUCAAAGGGUAUUAUAGGCAAAAAGAGGCUUUUUUGACCAUAAAUGGAAAUAUAGAUAGAAAAAUAAUAUUAAAAUAAAGAUCCCCAAGUUUUCAAUAAGGGAUACCAAGACACUUUUUUUACCAUAAUACCCUUUGACUCUAUAAAUCUUAAAAAAAACUCCAAAAAUUUAUAAUAAAUGGAAAUAUAGCGUUAAAAUAAAUGUAAUAAUAUAUACAUUUCAAAAUAAUUUUAAUAUUUAAAAUAUUUUAAUAUUUUCCAAUCUAUUAGACCUAUUUUAUUAUAUUAAAGCAAUUUUUAAUAAUAGAUAGAAAAAUAAUAUUAAAAUAAAUAAAUUAAAAUUAUUUUGAAUAUGAUGUAAAAGUUAAUUUUAAUAUAUUAAUAGGGAGAUUUAUUUAAUAAUUUAAAAUUUUAAUAUUAUUUAAAUGUAAAAAAUAAUUUAAUAUUAUUAGUCUACUAGAUAGACUAUAUUAUUUAUAUUAAAUUUGUGUUAAUAAAAAACCUUUAAAGUCAAUUUUCUAAUUACUAUAGUUAAAGGGUAUUAUAGGCAAAAAAAAGGUCUUGGUGUACAUUUUUUAAAACUUAGGGUCUUUGUGACCAUUUCCCCAAACGUUGGGGUUGUAGGUGUCCUUUUUUCCUUAUUUGAUUGUUUAUUUUUGUAAUGGUUCUAAUGGAAGUAAAAAAUGUAUCUUCUUCACUAUUUUUUUUUUUGUUUUGUUUUAGAAAUUUUAAAGAUCUUCUUAAUUGUUGUUGAAAUUAAAUAGCUAAAUAUGUAACAAAUUUUGAGACAUUUUAUACUUCUUUGUGUAUUGAAGUUGCAGAAUAAAAUCACGGAUCACAAAAAAAUUGGCCUAAGACUCCAAAAAUUCUAAUGUUGGCCCUGAACCAACUAAUGCAUGUAUGAUAUGUGUAAUUGAAUUUAAUAUAACCAUCACUUGUAUAGUGGUGUUAUAAAAUAAAUGCACAAUGUCAUAACAUCAUUUUUGUAUGGCUGACGCAUGUAAUUUUCUAAAAAAAGAUUAUAUAUAAAUACGUUUUUCUAGAAUAUAUGAGUAGAAAAUUUGAAAUUAGAAAAAUUAAUUAUUGUAAUGACACUUCUGACUUUUUACAAGAGUUCGAGAAACAUUAUUUCGAGUAAAUUGAUCACGAUUGUCGACAAAAGAUAAGAUUCAUUCUGCUCCCCAAAAUAGUACGAGAUUAACAACAACUUCAAUGAGGCUGCUGCAACACCGCGCAAUUCUGCUCCUUGGCCUCAACUGAAAUUUGUAAGUCUGGUUAGAGGUGGCAAUUUUUGACGACUCACCAACCUGCCACGAACACAAAAUAAAUUUGUCUCUGGAUUGGUUAAACUUGACACGAUUACAAAUUUUUGGUUCAGGUUGCUUGUUUGAUAUUCGUGUCGGGUUUAAAAUUUCUGACACGAAUAAUUAUUUGAUUAAUUAUAUUGUAGUGACCUACGUUUUAUUCAAUAGAACUACAUUAUACUUUUCAAAUGUACUACCUACAUUUUAAAUGAAAUUGAUAAGAGUUUAAGUAGGUAGUGCUACAAAGUUUCUAGACAAUAUAUUAAAAACGUGUUAAAAAGCUACAUAUUCAAAAAAAAUAUAAAAAUUAUGCAAAAUGGUUUACAUGAUUAUGCCAACCCUUGAGGAAUCUCAUAGCCACCACUGCCGUAUGGCGGUCCAUUUAUGCUGUUAGAUGAAGUAUAUAUAAAUAUAUACUAAGUUGAUGUAUCACUCCAUUAACAGUAAGAGAGGACACUGCUCUGUCAAAUUAACUAAUUAUUAACACACAAUAUUUCUGUGCUUGAAUUUCUCUCUAUUGAAUUCAACGAAAGAAAGAAAAAUAUAACUUGUGGGUUUUGGACCAUUUGGUUGGUUUCAGCAGUACUGAUUGAUCAGUUUGAGUUGCAAUGGAGGGCAAUAAUGAUAUCUACAUGGCCAGUACUAGUCUGCCAAGGAGUAUUUCUAGAUGGAGAACAAGCUCUAUGGGUGCAUUUUCGAGGUCUUCUAGGGAAGAAGAUGACGAGGAGGCUUUAAAAUGGGCUGCUAUUGAGAAAUUGCCCACUUAUAAUCGUUUGAAGAAAGGGCUACUUACUACUUCACGAGGAGAAGCUUUUGAAGUUGACGUUUCUAAUCUUGGACCGCAAGAAAGACAAAGGUUGAUCAAUAAAUUAGUGACGGUCCCUGAAGUUGAUAAUGAGAAGUUCUUGUUAAAGCUCAAGAAUCGCAUUGAGAGGUAACAUACAGAUUUCUUUUUUCUUUUUUUUUCUGCAGCUUUAGUCAGGAAUUUGUUCUAGUAAGGGGGAGUUCAAACAACAGUAUAAACUAAGAAGUAACAAAAUUUGAACUUUAUUGUAAUACGAGAGAAUAGUAGUGCAAGGGAAUCCUAAUUUUUGUAUAAAGGGCAAAAAAAAAAAAAAAAAGCAUAUAUUUAGGGUUAGGCAAAACCAAACCGAAUUAAAAAAAACCACCGAUAUAGUUUUCAUCAGUUACAUUUAGCUUCCGAAUUUUUUUUUUAUUAAAACCCAAAAUUCAUUUUGGUUUUCGACACAAAAUUUUUAGAAACGAAAUAUCAAACUUUGUGUCACUAUUUUAGUAAAAGAAAAUAAAAAUAAGAAGAUAAAUCGAAAUAGCGAGCUAUGUGGUUCCGGUUCGAUUCCAUUUUUAUUCAAUCUUUUCAAUUAGUCAAAACUGAAAACUGAACCAAACCACAAGUUAUCUGCAAUCAACUUUUUGCAUUGAUAUUAUUUAAAUUCUGAAAAAGUCGAACUAUUAGCACACCUCUUUUAAUUAUAUUUCACUUAAUGAUAAAAAUACCAUUUUUUUUAAAUAAACACUAUCUUCAUUUAUAGAUCUUACAAUUUCUAAUUUCAUCUUUUUCAGUCUUAAUAAUUGUUUUUCUCAUGAAACUUUCUUUAUUAUUUGAUUUCUAAAGAAAAAGUAAGAAAAACUUUAGAAAAUAAAGAAUAUUUUAUGCGUCUAAUACAGUUUUAUUGUACCUAUAAACUUUGGAUGCAACAAUUAGUUUGAGAAUCCUUAAAAAAUUAUUUGUAGUGAGAUAUAUUUUUUUCAUUUAUUUUCCCACUAUGUUGCAUCCUAAUUUUGUUGCUAUGUAUAUUAUAAGAAUAUUCUUGACUUAGAGGAUUACUUCUUAAAUUCAUAUUAUUUUAAUUAUAAUAAAAAAUUUAUAUUUUGCAAGCAAAAUAAUAUUGAAGAGAGAAAUAAAAUGAAAAUGGGGUUAGUCCUACUUAUAUUUGUUUUUAAAUAUAAUUGUAAUAUAAUAGGAGUUUUCUAAGAUUAAUGAAGGGGUGCCAAUAGUCCAACUCUUCUGAAAAAUCAUAAGAGUCUUUAAGCUAGUUUGGGAUUGCGAUUGUUGAUUAAAUAAACUGUUUUUACUGUGCUCAAACAAUAAGCAGUUGAUUAAAAAAGCAGUUUAGUUUUUGGUAAAUUAUGUUAUUGUAGUUGAUGUGAGUUUGAAAAACAGUGCACAUGCUUUUGGUAAAUUUUACAACAAAUGUAUUGUUCAUUAUAUAAUGACCAAACUAGACAUAAGUUUAAAACUUUAAAUUAUCUUUUUUUUCGGAGCAUAUUUAAUAAUAUUUGGACAUACGUUUUUCUUUUAAAAACACCUACAAUUACAUAAAGUGAAAAAAGAACUCAGUAAAUUUUUUAUAUAAAAUAUUAUAAAAAUUCAUACUAAUACAUAAUUCAAAUAAAAUAAAAAAGUAAUAUGCAUUACAUUUAUAUUAAACUUGAUGCAAUAAACAUCAUAACUAUAGAAAAAAAAAUAUAUAAACAGAUUGAAUAUUAAAAACCAUGGUUAUGAAAUUAAUUUUAAAAGUUAUGGUUAAUUUUCAUGUGAAAUUGUUCAAAGUUCAAAAAAAUUUACAUAAUUAUAUGUGAACCAUUUUUAAUCUUAUAAUAGAAAAUACAAGUAAAAUAUAAAAAAUAUGAACUUUCUAAAUCAAAACUUUGAUACUAUAGAGAAUAUAUAGUAGUUGUAGCGAUAAUUUGAUUGCGGUGGUAAUAUGAUUAAUAAUGGUUUAAUACUAUGGUGUAUGGAAAAGUAAGACAUAAUUAUUUUUUAAAUAUUAAAGUUAUAAUAGGAACUUUAAAAAGGUAUGAUAGCUUAUUUAAUAAGCUACCUAUCAAAACAACCUUCUACCCACUUUUAAAAACUACUGUCAAAAUGGAGAAAAUUAUGAAAUAAACAACUUUUACAAAAUUUACCAAACAUUAUUUUUUUCAUAAAUUAUAAAAUAAACAACUUAUUGAGUUUCAAUCUCAAUCCCAAAUGAAGCCUUUGUGAUAAAUCAACUUCUUUAAUUUUACUCAAACAACACUGGAUUCAACUAGGAAUGAAAAUGGGGAAGGGAGCAGAUUGAUAUCCCAUACCUAUCUUUAAUACUCUAUUUAAAUUUUUUUACCCUUCUCUUCAAAAUUACUUGAGAGGAGGUAAUAGGGAUUCUUGAGGGUACUUGAUCCCUGAAUAACUGAUAAUUUUAUUUUUCAAAAUUGAUUUAAUCUUAUAAAAGUAAAAGUAUGAAAUCGUAUUAUCAACACAAAAAUAUAAAAAAAAAAUAAAGUAAUUAAAAUCUUUUUCAUCAAACUAACUGAAUGUCAUCAAUAUUACAAGAUAAUUUAUAAAUUGAGCUAAAGUAGAGUUUCAAAGUUACAUACAUCCAUAAAAAUCACACGGUAUAAGUCAUCAACAAAAGUAUCUUUGUCAAGCUUCAAAUGUCUAUAUUAGUUGUAUUAUUUAUAUUAUUUUUAUAAGAUAUUAUGAUAAUUCUUUUUAUAUAUCCAUGCCAUUACAAUUUAAAAUUCAAAUGUACAUGCUGAAACUUUUAGAAGAAAUGAAAAAUAAAAAUAGAAAUUAGAAUUGAAGAGAGGAUGAGAAUUUUACCUAUUCUCAUCCAUUCCUAAAUAAGAUAUUGUGUAUUAAAUUAUUCUUAUCCCUUCGUUAAAUAAAAAUUAAAUAUAAAAUUAUACCCUCUCUCUUCAUCAGAAGAAAAUUUCUCUGACUCUGUUCCCGUAGAGAUUUCUAUCAUUUCUACACUCAACUCCAAUCCAUUAAAUAUUAGGAUAUUUUAAUCAAAAUUUUUAAGAGCUCACAAUGGACUAGACCCAUUUUGGGCCUUAAUUGAAUUCACUUGUGCAAUUAAUAUUCGUAUGUCUAUUUCAUGCUAUCAAUGAUUUUGUCAUCCAAUCUUACGUUCUAUUUAGUGCUAAGAUAUAUUGUAACCGUGCAGCAAAAGUUAGUAGUUAGCAGUAGCUCAUGGGUGUUUGGUAAACACUGCUAGGCACUAGGCAGUAGCUAUGGAUAAAAGUUAAUUGAUAGACCUAGAGGAAAUAAUUUUUCUCUCGUUCUUAUAAUUUGUAUCAGAGCCGGACCCGAUAGCUUUAAGUUCUUGUUAUUUAUGUUUGUGUGUUGUCUCUUUGACUUCCAAAUUUUCCCUGGUUUAGAGAUGAAAUAACUUUGCCUGAUUCCAACAAGUUGUAUCAGAGAAAGCUCAUGUUUUUGUUUUUUAUGUGUUUGUUGUCUUUCUAAGUUAUGACUUCCAAUUUUUCUGUGAUUUAAUUUUUCUCAGAGUUGGAAUUGACCUUCCCAAAGUUGAAGUUCGGUAUGAACAUUUGAAUAUUGAAGCAGAAGCGUAUAUAGCAAGUAAAGCCUUGCCAUCGUUCACUAAAUUCUAUACCAGCAUCUUUGAGGUAGCAUUACUCUUCAAAUAAAAGGUCAUUAAUUUUUAAAAAUUUUACUAUCUUUUUUCAUUUCUCGGCUCAAAGUUUAAUAAUCUGUGAAUUUUUGAAGGGUUUCUUGAACUAUCUCCACAUUCUUCCAAGUAGAAAGCAACAUUUGACAAUCCUCAAGGAUGUCAGCGGAUUCAUAAAGCCUGGCAGGUGAGAGUUAAAUAAUCUAUGGUCUCCUAAUUUAUUUGUACUUAUUUCAAUAUGUUGGUAGUCACCACAAAUUGUGCUCGUUUCUUUUGCUGCAGGUUGACAUUGCUUUUGGGUCCUCCAGCUUCUGGAAAGACUACACUUUUGUUGGCUUUGGCCGGGAAACUUGAUUCUAGUCUCAAGGUGCUGUUUUUCACUUUGUUAAAAUUAAGCUCUUGGAUGGGUUUGGCUUUGAGCAUUGUAAAGUUCACUCUUUUGCUUUUCACUCUUUGGUUUUCUCUCAACUUCGAGAAUGAAAAUAUCUCUCUAUAGGUUUCUGGUAGGGUGACAUACAAUGGGCACAACAUGGAUGAGUUUGUGCCUGAGAGAACAGCUGCUUAUAUCAGCCAACAUGAUAACCAUAUCGGUGAAAUGACUGUGAGGGAAACCUUGGCCUUCUCUGCUAGAUGCCAGGGGGUUGGAACCCGUUAUGGUAGCUUCUUGUUAAACCAUAGAAUUCAGACUGUAGUAUAUAUUUUUUGAUGUGGUAUAAGCAUUAAAGGCCUUUAUUUUUGGGAAGUGCAGAAAUGUUAACUGAGUUGGCAAGAAGAGAAAAGGCAGCAGGUAUUAAGCCCGAUCCUGAUAUUGAUGUCUACAUGAAGGUGAGAAAAGCAGAAGUUCGUACAAAACAUGUUUGGUGUUUAAAAAUUAAUAGAAUAGAGUUUAGUGAAAGAUGGGUUUUUUUAUUUAAGCUUCGCUUCAAUCAGGUUUUCCUAUAGCUUAAAAUACUAUCAUUUUACAUUUUUCUCAAUUGGAAAAAAAAAUAAAUUUGAAAUCAACCUUAUGGAGAUGGAUUUGAACUCUUCAUGAUUGAUUAUCUUGUAGUUCUCUGUCAAUUCUCUUGUCUCUGCAGGCAAUAGCAACUGAAGGCCAAGAAGCCAACGUGAUCACUGAUUAUUAUCUAAAGGUGUCAUUUUUACGAAUCACUCUAUAAACAAUUGUGAAACGAUUGUGGAUUUUUCUCAAGAAAGUCACUUGUUUGAAUGAUUUUUAAUAUAAAUAUGUAGGUUCUCGGACUGGAUGUCUGUGCAGAUACUGUAGUUGGCGAUGAAAUGAUAAGAGGUAUAUCAGGAGGACAAAGGAAGCGUGUCACAACUGGUAAGUACAUAACUCUAUAAGUUCAUUUCUAUUGUUUGCAAUGAUUUGUUGAAAUAAAUGACAAUUUGUAUUUCAAAUUAUAGGUGAAAUGAUGGUUGGUCCAGCGUUGGCACUAUUUAUGGAUGAGAUUUCUACUGGUUUGGACAGCUCGACGACGUUCCAGAUUGUUAAUUGUUUCAAGCAAAAUAUUCACAUCAAUUGUGGCACUGCUGUGAUAUCACUCCUACAGCCAGCACCAGAAACUUAUAAUUUAUUUGAUGAUAUUAUCCUUCUAUCUGAUGGCCAGAUUGUGUACCAGGGACCCCGUGAACUGGUGCUAGAGUUUUUUGAAUCCAUGGGCUUUAAAUGCCCCAAAAGGAAAGGCGUGGCUGACUUCUUGCAAGAAGUAUGUUCUAAUAGAGCUCUUGCUAUGAUAUGUCUUUUUCUUAAUAUUUUAAUAAAAAUGUUGUGGCUUAUCUUUAAAAAUAAUAUAUUGCAGGUGACAUCAAAGAAAGAUCAAAAGCAGUAUUGGGUACAUAAAGAGAGGCCAUACAGGUUUGUUACAGUCCAGGAAUUCACCGAGGGAUUCCAAUCAUUCCAUGUGGGACAGAAAAUUUCUGAUGAGCUUCAGACUCCAUUUGAUAAGAGCAAGAGCCAUCGAGCUGCUUUGACCACAGAAGUGUAUGGUGCUGGCAGGAGGGAGUUAUUGAAAGCUUGCAUCUCAAGAGAACUUUUGCUGAUGAAGAGGAACUCAUUUGUCUACAUUUUCAAGCUCAUACAAGUGAGUAUCAACUUAAUUUUGAGUUGUUCUAAUCAUUUCUUUAUGUUAUAUUGGUUUAUUGAUUAUGUUUCCCGUCAUUAGAUUGCAUCUGUCGCAUUGGUCUAUAUGACACUCUUCUUCAGGACAAAGAUGCACAAAGAUUCAGUUACUGAUGGUGGAAUUUACGCUGGUGCCUUGUUCUUCGCCACUGUGAUGGUUAUGUUCAAUGGAUUUUCAGAGAUUUCUAUGACCAUAGCCAAGCUUCCUGUCUUCUACAAGCAAAGAGAUUUCCGUUUCUUUCCUCCGUGGGCUUAUGCUAUACCCUCAUGGAUCCUCAAGAUCCCUAUCUCUUUCCUGGAGGUUGCUGUUUGGGUAUUCUUAACAUAUUAUGUAAUUGGGUUGGAUCCCAAUGCUGGAAGGUAAGCAGAAAGAAAAUGGUCCAAAUUGACAUGUAACCAAUGACAUUUUUUCUGCAGGAUAUAUUUAUCCAACAAGUUGAUGUGAUGAUUUUGUUGUUGCAGGUUUUUUAAGCAGUAUUUUCUGCUUUUGGCUGCUAACCAGAUGGCAUCUGCAUUGUUCCGAUUAAUUGCAGCAACAGGCAGGAACAUGGUUGUUGCUAACACAUUUGGUUCAUUCGCAUUACUCGUGCUUUUCUCAUUGGGUGGAUUUGUCCUUUCUCGAGGUACAGAAAAUAUACUAGUAAAUGAGACAAAAUUAGCUUCUUUUAUCAAAAUUAAACUAUAAUAUUGCCGUUUCCUUGUUUCAUAAUGCAGAGGACAUCAAAAAAUGGUGGAAAUGGGCUUACUGGUGUUCUCCAUUGUCGUACGCACAGAAUGCAAUAGUGGCAAAUGAAUUUCUUGGGCACAGUUGGAAAAAGGUAAUUCUUCCACCCUUAUCCAUGAUUGUUUAAUUAUUUAUUAGCAGCUUACUGAUAUCUGAUGUGUGUAUUUUAUAUCAUAGUUUACUCCAAACUCAAUUGAAUCACUUGGAGUCCAAGUUUUGAAGUCUCGUGGGUUCUUCGCACAUGCAUAUUGGUUUUGGCUUGGAUUGGGGGCUUUGUUUGGUUUUGUAUUGCUGUUCAACCUUGGUUUCACUUUGGCUCUUACUUUUCUUAACCGUGAGUAUUGUUACCAUCUUCGUUUGAAUUACUUCUAUGGCAAUGAGUUUACGUUCGAAUUUCUGGCAAAACAUAUUUACAGGAUUAGAGAAGCCUCGGGCUAUUUUAACAGAGGAAUCUGAAAGUAAUGAGCAAGAUAGCACAAUUGGAGGAACUGUUCAGUUGUCGACCCAUGGAGGUAGUUCUAGGCGUUAAACACGCAUCUAUGACAAAACUAGUUCGAUACAUUUGAGCAAGAGUGAGAUAUCUCUUUAACAUCGUCUUAUCAUAAUAAAUUAUUUUAAACAUGCAGAGAGUGGGAAUGACAUUAGGGAGAGAAACUCCUCUUCCCACUCCUUAACCUUGACAGAAGCAGAGGGCAGUCAUCCAAAGAAAAGAGGAAUGGUUCUUCCAUUUGAACCUCAUUCCCUUACAUUUGAUGAGGUUGUGUACUCUGUUGAUAUGCCACAGGUAAUAUUAAUUUGAAAAAUUAUUAGGCAAUAUUUAGAAAGUUCGAUAAUAUCUUCAUUCAUUACAAUGUAGUCCAGGUGUGAUGACCAAUUGGUUCGAUUUUACUUUGCAGCAAAUGAAACUUCAAGGUGUUUCUGAUGACAAAUUAGUGCUUUUGAAUGGUGUGAGCGGUGCCUUCCGGCCAGGUGUACUAACUGCCUUAAUGGGCGUUAGUGGUGCUGGUAAAACCACUUUGAUGGAUGUGCUGGCAGGCAGGAAAACGGGCGGUUAUAUUACUGGGAACAUAAAAGUAUCAGGUUACCCAAAGAAGCAAGAAACUUUUGCUCGCAUUUCAGGAUACUGUGAGCAGAAUGACAUCCACUCUCCGUUUGUUACUGUAUACGAGUCCUUGCUCUAUUCAGCCUGGCUCCGUUUACCACCUGAAAUUGAUUCUGAAACCCGAAAGGUUGGUACUGAAAUCACCUGGAGAGUUGGGUCAUUGAGAGCUAAAACAAGUUAAACAGAGUCAGAAAGAAUAGAAAAGUUUGAUUCCCUAACUACAUUAUUGGAAAUGGUCAUACUAAUUUUUAGUUUUACCCUUAAUUUGCAGAUGUUUAUUGGGGAAGUCAUGGAGCUUGUGGAGCUGAAACCACUGAAACAAUCACUAGUUGGUUUGCCUGGUGUAAGUGGUCUGUCAACAGAGCAGCGCAAGAGACUUACCAUUGCAGUUGAGCUGGUGGCUAACCCAUCAAUCAUAUUUAUGGAUGAGCCAACCUCAGGGCUAGAUGCAAGGGCUGCUGCAAUCGUUAUGAGAACUGUUCGAAACACAGUAGACACUGGAAGGACUGUUGUGUGCACCAUCCAUCAACCAAGCAUUGACAUAUUUGAAGCUUUUGAUGAGGUAAGAAAGGUUAAAUCUUGAUCAAAUUAUCAAAAAGUUCGUUUUCUCCCAUCUAUUGAUUACAAUUAUUCAAAAACGCGUUGCAGCUAUUCCUAAUGAAGCGAGGGGGAUAUGAAAUUUAUGUCGGGCCAUUGGGGCGCCAUUCUUGCCAUCUUGUCAGCUAUUUUGAAGUAUGUUCUGAAGCACAUUUUCAUAAUACAAUGGAAAUCUAACUGCAAUAUCACACUUACAUAAUUUACAUCAUGAUACUAGCUGAUGCAAGUUAAUUUGUUUUUAUAAGGCAAUUCCUGGAGUUGAGAAAAUUAAAGAUGGUUAUAAUCCUGCAACUUGGAUGUUGGAAGUGUCGGCUCCAUCGCAAGAAGUUGCUUUGGGGGUUGAUUUUUCUGAUAUUUACAAACGCUCAGAGUUAUACAGGUAUGUUUGUGAUGUACUACUAGGUAGCAUAGCCAAUGGACCAAAAUCCAUUCAACAAUGCCAACACAUUUGUUUAACUCAAAGAUGAAUGUGUCAGGAGAAACAAAUCACUUAUUGAAGAUUUAAGCAAGCCUGCUCCAGGCUCAAAGGACCUCCAUUUUGCUGCUCAGUACUCUCAGUCAGCUUUCACCCAAUUUCUGGCUUGCUUAUGGAAACAACACUGGUCAUACUGGCGAAAUCCAGCAUACACUGCUGUUAGAUUCUUUUUUACAACCUUUAUAGCAUUGUUGCUUGGGUCAAUUUUUUGGGACUUGGGCGGUAAAACGUAAGUGCUAACUAGUUGUCUGGAACAGUUUAUAUUUAGAUGAUGUUCGUAAGUCUUGUUGUUUCAUCUGCCUUUUAAUCUUAAUUUUCACUUUUCAAAUUUUAGGGAAAAGAGGCAAGAUCUGUUAAAUGCAAUGGGUUCCAUGUUUACUGCUAUUAUGUUCCUGGGCAUUCAAUAUUGUUCAUCAGUGCAGCCAAUAGUAUCCGUUGAAAGGACAGUCUUUUACAGAGAAAAAGCUGCUGGCAUGUACUCGGGCAUUCCAUGGGCGUUAGCACAAGUAAUCGUUUGACAAGUUACAUGUCCAUAUUAAAUGUUAUAAGAAAUGUGUUUCAUCCUGAUUAUUAAUUUUUCUUUCCUGCAGGUUAUGAUUGAGAUUCCUUAUAUAUUUGUCCAGUCACUAGUGUACAGUUCUAUAGUCUAUGCUAUGAUGGAAUUUGACUGGACAGCCGCAAAGUUCUUUUGGUAUAUAUUCUUCAUGUACGUCACAUUGUUGUUCUUCACCUUCUAUGGCAUGUUGACUGUGGCUAUAACACCAAACCACCACAUUGCUGCCAUUGUUUCGACUUUAUUUUAUGGGAUAUGGAACAUCUUCAGCGGGUUUAUAAUCCCAAGACCCGUGAGUACCAUCCUGCUAUUUCUAUUGUAUAUGCUAGAUUUUCUUGCUUAUGGAAUUUUUGUUAUUCGUCCUUUUCUCAUCUUUCUACUUGUCAAACCACAGAGGAUUCCUGUAUGGUGGAGAUGGUACUAUUGGGCAAACCCUAUAGCUUGGACCUUGUAUGGAUUGAUUGCUUCCCAGUUUGGAGAUAUGGAGGAUAAAAUGGAAAGCGGUGAAACAGUAAAACAUUUUCUAAGAGAUUAUUUUGAUUUUAAACAUGAUUUUCUGGCAGCAGUUGCGGGUGUCCUUACUUGCUUUCCAGGGCUCUUUGCACUUCUCUUCGCCGUAGCAAUUAAGCAGCUUAAUUUCCAGAGGCGAUAGAAAUUUAAUUUGAUUUUGAAGAUCAAGCUUGUGCUUCAUGGGAAAAGAACUGGUACUAAACAUGUGAUGUACAACGGAAACCACGUCGCGGAAGGCUUAGCUAAUCUGUUUUGGAGUAUCUCCACCAGAAUGUAUCCAAUAAUACGGUUCCUCUAUAGUAUCAUCUUAUAAAAAUUGGGUGGGAAGUUAUCCUUAACUGUGCUAUUUGGAGUUUAAUUUCCUGAAUCUGUAGAAGUUUAAUUUCAUUUCUUAGAUGAUGUCUGGCUUACUGCUACCAAACAUUGGGGGGGCACAAUUAGGAGAAUCGGGUCGGGGAUGCCUUGGCUAAAUUGAGCAUGUUAUUCUUCAUCUUUUCAGGAAUUUACAUCUGUAUUAAUGGCAGGAGGUGGUUAAUGUAGUAUAUGAUGCAAGAAGAUAUAACUUUUUAAUUUGUUACCCAGGUGCCAUUUCAUACUUUAGAUUACACAUAAUUAAUGAUGUGAAGCAAAAGUGACCUGGCUGAGUGGUUGGUUCCAAGCAACUUUAUUUGACUGGCUACACGAGUUCAAAUUUUAGAGAAAAAUAAAAACGUUUAUUGUUUAUUAAAACAAAUGAGGCAAACAAUGUGGAAAUUAAAACAAAUGAAGAUAAUAACCAUCCCAAGCACGUCUGGGGUCAACAAAAGGUCACAUUUUUAAAUAUAUUUUUUUAUGAGAUGAAAAAUUGAAGUGUAAAGUUUAUUGUUUAUUAUUUAUUUAUUUAUUUAUUUAUUUUUCUCACUGGUUGGAGUUCAAGAAAUCAUAACUUUAAUCAAAUGGAUCACAACUCACGACAAAAGAUGAUGAGAAAAAUUUCUGUAAGAUAAGCACACCAUUUCAGUAGAUUGAGGAGGUCUUCCUGUCCAAUAAAAAUUUGUCAAAUGACAAAUCUAACGAGCCUUGUGAUGGGAUUGCGAUCUAUUAAUUUUUUUUUUUUUUAAUUUUAAAUUUUGCAAUGCCAGUAUGCCACCAACAUUAUAUUGGUGGAUGCCAUCAAGGGACCUACCAAAUCAACCAACAUUAUACUGGUGGACGCCAUCAAGGGACCUACCAAAUCUACCAUUUGAUUAAUGAUUAUGUGAUUAGCACUCCACCAUAACGUAUUGGGGUGGUGCGGCUGUCGUACAGAAAUCUUUGUCGAAGUCUGUUGAAGCACUGUUUAAUGUGAAAGUUUAGCUUACUUUUCUUGCAUAAAGACAAGGGGGUAAAAAAACUUGUAAAUAAAAUAACAACCAAAUUAUUGAAAAGCCGUGUAUAACAUAACUAAUGAUGAUUUUAACAAAAAAAUAAUAAUUAUUAUCUUCUAUUCUCCUUUAAACCCUGUUUUUAUAAAUCAUCAUCCCUAUCUAUAAAUAUAUGUUUGGAUAGUAAUGGCUUGUUUAGUAUUAAAAUUAUGCAGCUGUAGUUUUAAAAUAAUAGUAUUAAAAUAUUUGGUAAACAUUAUUUGCGGUAACUUGAAACUUAUAUUGAUUUGAUCCCGCAAUUAUAUGAUGAAAAACUUACAAUAUAAUUAUUAGUUUUAUAAAAAUUAUUAUUUAAAUUCAUAUUUACUAUAUAUUAUAAAAUUUUAUUUUAUAAUUACGGUUCUUUUUCCACAACAACUAUAAUUAAAAGGUACAACAACUCAAUAUCAGAUAGGACUAAGUCUUAUCCCUAAAAAAGAAAUUAAGAUUUAAGGAUAGGCAAAUGUUCUUUACAUUCAUGGAGUUUUGUUUAAUAGCUCAUUAUAUUUUUAUAGUUUGUAAAAUGCAUCAACACAUCAUUCUCUCUCAAUUUUAAAAGUUUUAUUCCUGAUGAAUUUAGAUAAAUUAAAUAAAGAACGCAAUUUUUUUUAAUUAUUUAAGUAAGAAAUGAUUAAUAAUUUUUUUUUCACUAUUGUUCAAAUUUUUACAAUAUAAUUAUUAAUCAAAUAAAACAUAUUUUUUGUAAUAGAAAAUAUUUGAAUUUGUUUAGGAGUAAAGCAGAAGCAUCUUCUGAAUGCAAUUUAUUCUGUCUAACAUAGAGAGACCAACGAGGGAGAAGCCAUCUGUUCUGAAGACCAAGGAAAAUUAACUAGUAUUGAGUCGCACUCAAUCCAAAGCUAAUGCCACUGUCGAGCAAAACCAUUCUAAAAAAACAUAAAUAACUGUCAUGAUUUCGGCUUUAAAAAACUCCACCAUAAGCUGAAGCAUCGCAUCCAAAUUUUGGCCUUAAUCCAACCGAAAGGGGGAAGGCAGCAUAUCAAGGGCCUGUUUCCUGUACAGGUGUAUCAAUUGUAGUUUAAAAGUUAAGUUAUGGUUUUAAAAUAUUUGAUAAAUAUUUGUUAUUAUAAUUUAAAAAUAAAAUUACACUAAUUUAAUCAAAAUAGUUCUCGAAUCUGAUUAUAUUUCACGCCCAUCAAAAUUCCUUAAUAUAAUAAACAUAACCAUAGCCAGCAGCAAAUUAAUUGGACACUUUAGAGCGAGGGUAUUAGUUGAGAUAGGCAGCUGAAAGCAGAGAAACGGCACUAGCCAUUCCCACUAGCUGCGCACAUAAGAGCUCAGUGAAGGUAAAAAGGAGAACCUCUUAUUCCUUGUGGCUCAAAAUCUUGCAGAGACUCCAUUCAAACCACAAAAAUAAAGACUUUAUAAUAUAGACAAGACAAAAUCUUGCACUCUGUCAUCUGCGCAAGUUUCCAUAUUGCACAUUUUAAUUGUUUACCUUUAAAAUGUGCAUUAAAGCUAAAGACUUUAAACGUGUAUAUACUAGUACACGAUGCAAAUUUGUAAACAUGUUUUUCUGGCAUAUGAGUAAAAAUUAAAUUGAAAAUUCAUUGUUACAAUGACAUCUCGAACUUUUUUACUCUAGGAUGGUCAAGAAAAGAUAAUCUCGAUCAAAUGGUUGUCUGUGAUUAUUGACACUUAUGCAUUCAAAGUAGAAAAAAAUGCCCUUAGCCUUAUGUGUCACAUGAUAGUCACACUUUUUGUAUAGUGUUCACUUGUUGGAGUAGGAUUGGAAAACGUGGACUUCUCUCACUCCAGGCGCUUACUUGCUCAUUUAAGAAGGGGUGCGAGAGUCCCACUCCAUAUGUCCCACUUAUUUUUGGAGUGAGGAGUGGUUUAUUUCAACAAAUUAACUUCGGAUUGGGAAUCCCACUCCAUGGGCCCCACCCAUUUUUGGAGUGGGGAGUGGGAGUGGGAGUGGGACUCCCAUGGGAAGAGGUGGGAGUGGAAAUACCCUUUUUAAUUUAAUUUAACUUAAUUUAAUAUUUAAUAUUUAAUAAAAUAAAAUAUAUUAUAUUUAUUUGAUUAAUAUUAUUAUAUUUAUUUAAAAAAUAAUAGUACUAUAUUUAUUUAAUAUUAAUAAUAAAUAGUUUAUUCUAAGAAAAUAUUAAUUUUGUACUAUAUUAUUAAUAAUAAUGUUUCAUUUUUGUUACUCUUAUCAAUAAUAUUUAACUUACAUAACUAAAAUUAAAAUUAAUAAUAAAAUAAAUAGUUUAUUUUAUAAAUAUAUUCUUUUAUUCACUUUUUAAUUAAAAACUAGUACUUUUUAAAUAAGGGUAAAAUUAUAAUAUGAAACAAUUUACUCCCAAUCCAAAAUGAUGUAAAUAUAUAAAUGAGAUUUUGAUUUUUAUUCUACACUUUUGUUCCAGUGUAAGUAAACAACUUACUUCCACUCUGACUCCACACUCCUAAUAUCAAUAUUCUCACUUUUCAAAUUUCUUAAUCCAAUUCGAGACUCAGAAGUAAACGAUAUUUUAACAUAGUAUGAGCAUAAGUUUGCUGUUGUAAGAGGUAGUGAAUUUAGACUCAACAAGAUAUUAUCUUGGAUGCUUUUAUAACUCUUUUCGAAAUUCAAACAACCUUUUACGUUGAGAUUAUCGCUGUAAUAAUCGGGAGAGAUCUUAGUGGUCAAAUAUAGUGGACUAAUGUUUGGUUGUAAUAGGAUAUUACAUGUCUACCCUACUAAAUGAUUGGAUUGUAAGUCUCGGGUCCCGGUAUGAAUUUCGUUGCCUCUCUCUUCUUUCUCUUUCGCGACGCCAGUACGCCACCCUUUUCUGAAUAUUUUAGCUGACACUGACAUGUUCCAUUCCUUUUAUAACCAUAAGUAUAAGCGGAGUUGUUAUAUAUACCAAGCCAUUUAUCGUAAGAGAUAACAUUGCCCUGUCAAGUUAAUUAACUGAUACACAAUAUUUCUUCUGUGCCUGAAUUUCUGUCUGUUGAAUCCAACAAAAAGAAAGAAAAAUAUAACUUGUGAGUUUGGUUGGUUUCAGCAGUACUAAUUGAUCAGCUUGACUUUGCAAUGGAGGGCAGUCAUGAUAGUUACUUGGCGAGUACUAGUUUGCGUGGGAGUAUUUCUAGAUGGAGAACAAGUUCUGUGGGUGCAUUUUCGAAGUCCUUGAGGGAAGAAGAUGAUGAGGAGGCUCUAAAAUGGGCCGCUCUUGAGAAACUGCCUACUUAUAAUCGUUUGAGGAAAGGAUUACUAACUACUUCACGAGGUGAAGCUUUCGAAGUUGAUGUUUCUAAUCUUGGACUGCAACAAAGGCAAAGGUUGAUCAAUAAAUUGGUGAAAGUCACUGAAGUUGAUAACGAGAAGUUCUUGUUGAAGCUCAAGAGCCGCAUUGAUAGGUAAAAAUUCUCUUUCUUCAGCACCUUCAAGGGGGUAUUCAGAAAUUUGAUAUAGGAAGGAAGAGUCAUUCAGACAACAGUAAUUUUUUUUCUUAAAUCUCUCUCUUUUAUAGUAAUUUUUUCUAUUUUCAGAACAGUUUAUAAACUUAUGCAAGGGUUGUUUUUAAAAGUAUUAUAUAAAAUAAUUCUUCAAAUAAUUAAUAACGCUCUUAGAGUCUCUACCUCGACCUUUUUGUUUUAACAAAUUAAUAAGAACUUAUUUUACUGACCAUAACCCUAAUAUAUUAUAUUAUCAGAGUGACGCUACUGCAACCCCCUUUUUUCUCUUAUAAAACACCUAUUGUAAUGUAUUUACAAUUUUAUCCUCUAUUUUUUAAAAUUAUAUUAAAAAGAAAAAAGAUAUCUAUACCCUUACAAUUUGAAAAAAUAAUCACUAACACUCAAAUUUUCAAAAAGGGACACCAGGACCCCUUUUAACCAUAAUAUCCUUUAUCUCUAUUAUCCCAAAAAAAAAUCACUCUAAUGUUUUAUAAGAAAUCAAAAUAUAAUAUUAAAAUAAAUGUAUUAAAAUUUAAAUUAUUUUGAAUGUUAUGUAAAAUAAUAAUUUUAACAUUACUAGUAUGUGCGAUUUUUUUAAUUGUAAAAUUUAUUUAAUGCAAAAUUUUAUUUAAAAUCUCUACAAUGAAAACAAAUAUAUUAUUAAAAUAAAUAUAAUAAUUUAUAUAAUAUUGUAUAAUAGAGGUAAAGUAUUAUGGUUAAAAGGAGGUUUUGAUAUCCUUUUUUGAGAACUUAAAGGUGUUGAUGACCAUUUCUCUAAACCUUGGGGGUAUAGAUGUCCUUUUUCCUAUUAGAAAUUAAAAUUUAUCUAAUUAAACCCCUCUUUUCCCAUCACAAACUCUUUAAAUCUACAAAGUUAAUCAAUUAAAAGAGUAAUAAUUUGAUUAAAAUAAGUUUGAUUCACUUAUUUACAAUUUAUUUUUACAUUCUAUUUUGGUUAAUUUAAAACUUGAAUCAAAUUCAACUCAAAUUUUCAGUUCAAAUCAAAAACCAAAUUAAACUUAGAUAUGUAUUGAGAGGUUUUGCUAUGAUAUUUCCCUAUUUGAAAUUUCAAUUCAUCCCUUAAAUAAAAUUAUAAUUUUUAAUUUAUCCUCAAAAGUAUGAAAACCUUAAUAUAUCCUCAUUUUUCGUUUAAAAGAUGAGGCAAAUAGGAUGCGUGUUAAUGAUUUUUUUUUUUGUCUUUUUAAUAGUAUAUGAGGAUAAAUUGAGGUUUCAUACUUUCCUAUGAUAAAUUGAAAACUGCCACUUUAAGUAGGGAGUAGGGAGUAGGGAGUAAAUUAAGAUUUACCCUAUUUAAAAAUUUUGAAAAAUCAAAAGGUACUUUAUGUUAAAUCAACUUUUAUUCUAAAGGGUAAAUGAUUGCUUAGUACUUAUAUUUUAGAUUAAAUAAUUAUUUAGUCUUAUUUUAAAAAAUAUCUUAAGACAUUUUUAUUAUUAAAUAUGUUACACUUUUGUUCUUACUUUUUUCUCAAACUUUACAAAAAUAUCUUUGCAAUAAUCUUGGGACAUAAUAAAAAGAAAAAAAUGUUAAUCAAUCCAUCAACUUUUAAAAGUAAAUAAAAAUUAAUGUAAAAAUUUCUUGCUAUUAAUAAAAAUUAAUGUAAAAAUUUCUUAUAUUAUUUUGCUUCUAAAGUUAAUUUGAUAUUAAUUUGGUAUUUGUGAAUAAAAUUAUUAUGUAUUGUAAAAGUAAAGAACUAAUAAAGCUAAGAGUGUAACAUAUUUAACAGUAGAGUUGUUUUAGAAUAUUUUUCAAAAUAUAAUGAUUAAAUAGAUAUUUAAUUUAAAAUAUAAGAAUUAAAUAAAUAUUUAUCUUCUUUUUAUUUAAAUUGUACUCCUAUAACAAAAAACUCCAAUUUUUAAUGUUCAGGAUAAAGGAAUGAAGUGUCAACUAACUCAAUUAAAAAUGAUUUGUUGGCUAAUAAAUCAUACGCCUGUGGAAUUGAUAUUCAUAUGAACAGUAAUACUAGUAUUUGAAUGUUGAUUCGUAUUUGCAAUUAAUUGGUAGAACUCGACAGGAUCUGAGAUGAAAUUACCUCAAUAUUAACUUGUGAUUUUCAAAUUUCCCGAUCAAUGACUAUUCAGCCGGUGACCGUAAAUAUUAAUUUAUAAAAAAAAAAUUACAUAUUUUGUUCAAAUAUUAUUCUAAAUUAAAUAUUUUUAAAAAAUAAAAUAAUAUUUUGUGUCAUCGGUAAUAAAUAUUGAACACCGACCCCUACUCUCUAUUGUUUAUUAUUACAUGAACUUGUGUUGACAACUACUUCAAAAGUUCUUGUCAUUUAUGUGCGAGCAUGUUCUUAAGUUAUGAUUUUCAAUUUUUAUUUUGAUUUUUCUCAGAGUUGGAAUAGACCUUCCCAAAGUGGAAGUUCGAUAUGAGCAUUUGAACGUUGAAGGGGAAGCGUACUUAGCAAGUAAAGCCUUGCCAUCUUUCACUAAAUUUUAUACCACCGUCUUUGAGGUAGCAUUACUCUUCAAAUCAAGAGUCAUUAUUUUGUUAGUUUCGAGGCUCAAAUCUUAAUUAUCUGAGUGUCUUUGAAGGACAUCUUCAACUAUCUCGGCAUUCUUCCCAGUAGAAAGAAACACUUGACAAUCCUCAAGGAUGUGAGUGGAAUCAUAAAGCCCGGCAGGUGAGAAUCCAAAUUAAUUCCUAUUGUUUCUUAAUUUACUUGUAAUUUCUUGAAUUUAUGGGUACUUAAUUAUCUAAGAAUUGUGCAGAAUGACACUGCUUUUGGGUCCUCCAGCAUCUGGAAAGACCACACUUUUGUUGGCUUUAGCUGGGAAGCUUGAUUCUAGUCUCAAGGUGCUUUUUUUUUUUUUAAUUGAUUAAUUUAUUUUUUUUUUACAUUGAUUAAUUUUUUUUUUUUUACAUUGUUAAAAUUAAGCUCUAAUUUUAGCAUUACUUUUUCAUCUUUGGUUUUAUCUCUGAUUAGAGGAAUCAAAAUGUCUCAUUGUAGGUUUCUGGUAGGGCGACAUACAAUGGGCACGACAUGGGUGAGUUUGUGCCCGAGAGAGCAGCUGCUUACAUCAGUCAACAUGAUAAUCAUAUAGGAGAAAUGACUGUGAGGGAAACCUUGGCCUUCUCUGCUAGAUGCCAGGGGGUUGGAUCCCGAUAUGGUAGCUUUUUUCUUUUUUUCCUUCCAACUAUAAAAUUCAGAUUGUGGUAUGUAUUUUUUUGAUAUAGUACAAGCAUUUAAGGUUCAUUGCUUUUGAGAAAUGCAGAACUAUUAACUGAGUUGGCCAGAAGAGAAAAUGAAGCAGGUAUUAAGCCUGAUCCCGAUAUAGAUGUCUACAUGAAGGUGAGUGAAAUGUGGGCUUUUAUUUUUAAUCCUCGCCUCGUUUUUGUUUUCCUAUGGCUUAAAAUCCUAGUAUUUGACCUUUGAUAUUCAAAUCGUUGUGCCAUUUUCCUGAAUUGGAUCAGUUUGAAGCAUGGGAUUUCACCUUUUUGCCUCUAAAAAAUAGAAUUAGACUAGAAUCAAUUUUAUGGACAGGGAUUUGAACUCUUGGUGAUUGAGUAUCUUAUUUCUCCAUCAAUUCUCUUGUCUCAGGCAAUAGCAACUGAAGGCCAGGAAGCCAAUGUCAUCACUGAUUAUUAUCUGAAGGUAUCGUGAUUAUGAAUAACUCUAUAAACCAAUUGUAAAUUUUUCUCAAGUAACUAAUGUCACCUGUUUGAAUGAUUUUCAACAUAAAUAUAUAGGUUUUGGGACUUGAGGUCUGUGCAGAUACCAUGGUAGGAGAUGAAAUGAUAAGAGGUAUAUCUGGAGGAGAAAGGAAGCGUGUUACAACUGGUAAAUGCAUGACUCUAUAAAUUCAUUUCUAUUGUUCACAAUGAUAAAAAUGUAAUUAUAACUUUCCAUUCAAAUAAAUGACAAUUUGUAUUUCGAAUUAUAGGUGAAAUGAUGGUUGGUCCAGCGUUGGCACUAUUUAUGGAUGAGAUUUCCACUGGUUUGGACAGCUCAACGACUUUCCAAAUUGUUAAUUGUCUCAAGCAACAUGUUCACAUCAAUAGUGGAACUGCUGUGAUAUCUCUCCUACAGCCAGCACCAGAAACUUAUGAUUUAUUUGAUGAUAUAAUCCUUCUAUCUGAUGGCCAGAUUGUAUAUCAGGGUCCCCGUGAGCUGGUGCUGGAGUUUUUUGAAUCCAUGGGCUUUAAAUGCCCCAAGAGAAAAGGAGUGGCUGACUUCUUGCAAGAAGUAUGUGGUGAUAGAGCACUGCAUCUGAUCUUUUCUGUUCCUAGUACUAUUUGCAAAUAAUACAGAAGCUUAAGACACGUAACCUUUUUUUAUUCAAUCUUUAGAAAUAUAAUGUGUUGCAGGUGACAUCAAGGAAAGAUCAAAAGCAGUAUUGGACACAUAAAGAGAAGCCUUACAGGUUUGUGACAGUCGAGGAAUUUGCUGAGGCAUUCCAAUCAUUCCAUGUGGGACAGAAAAUUUCUGAUGAGCUUCGGACUCCAUUUGAUAAGAGCAAGAGCCAUCGAGCUGCUUUGACCACAGAAGUGUAUGGCGUUGGCAAGAGGGAGUUGUUGAAAACUUGCAUCUCAAGAGAGCUUUUGCUGAUGAAGAGGAACUCAUUUGUCUACAUCUUCAAGCUUACCCAAGUAAGUAUCAACUUAAUUUUGAAUUAAUUUAAUCAUUUCUUUAUGUGAUUGAGAUUUGUUGAUUAUUUCUUCCCCCCUGAUAUUAGAUUUCAUCCGUCGCAUUGGCCUUUAUGACACUCUUCUUCAGAACAAAGAUGCACAAACAUUCAGUAACUGAUGGUGGAAUUUAUGCUGGUGCCUUGUUCUUUGCCACUGCAAUGGUCAUGUUUAAUGGACUUGCGGAGAUUUCUAUGACCAUUGCCAAGCUUCCUGUCUUCUACAAGCAAAGAGAUUUCCGUUUCUUUCCUCCAUGGGCUUAUGCUAUUCCCUCAUGGAUCCUCAAGAUCCCCAUCUCGUUCCUGGAGGUUGCUGUUUGGGUAUUCUUAACUUAUUAUGUAAUUGGGUGUGAUCCCAAUGCUGGAAGGUGAACAGAUAGAAAAUCAACCAAAUUGACUAUUAACCAAUGGCAUUUUCAUUACAUGAUAUCUUUAUCCAACAAGUUGAUGUGAUGAUUUUCUUGUUGCAGGUUUUUUAAGCAGUACUUGUUGCUCUUAGCAGUUAACCAGAUGGCGUCUGCAUUGUUCCGAUUAAUUGCUGCAACCGGCAGGAGCAUGGUUGUUGCUAACACAUUUGGUACAUUUGCAUUACUCGUGCUUUUCGCAUUGGGUGGAUUUGUCCUUUCACAAGGUACAUAAAAUAUAAAAGUAAACGAGCCCCAAUUAGCCUCUUUUUCAUAACUAAACUAACAUAUUUUCAUUUCUUUGUUUCAUAAUGCAGAGGACAUCAAAAAAUGGUGGAAAUGGGCUUACUGGUGUUCUCCAAUGUCAUACGCACAGAAUGCAAUAGUGGCAAAUGAAUUUCUUGGGUACAGUUGGAAAAAGGUACGUCUUUGAAUGAGCCUUGCCCAAAAUUGUGUAAUUGUCUAUUAGUAACAUACUGAUGUCUAAUUUUUUCAUGUAAUAGUUUACUCCAAACUCAUAUGAAUCAAUUGGAGUCCAAGUUUUGAAGAGUCGCGGGUUCUUUGCUCAUGCAUACUGGUAUUGGCUUGGAUUGGGGGCAUUGUUUGGUUUUAUACUACUGUUCAACCUCGGUUUCACUAUGGCUAUUACUUUUCUUAACCGUAUGCAUCUUUACCUCUUCACUUAAUACUUCAAAAGCAGUGAGUUUAUGUUCUAAUUUUGUGCAAAAAAAUAUUUACAGAAUUAGAGAAGCCUCGAGCUGUUAUAACAGAGGAAUCUGAAAGUAAUAAGCAAGAUAACAGAAUUAGAGGAACUGUUCAGUUGUCCACCCGUGGAGGUAGUUUUGUUUCAGUUAUUAAACUAUUUCCUUUGAGAAAGAAUGAGAUAUUUUUUAAAUGCCAUCUUAUGCUAAUAAAUUGUUUUAAGCGUGCAGAGAGUGGAGAAGACAUUAGCGGGAGAAACUCCUCUUCUAAGUCCUUAAUCCUGACAGAAGCACAGGGCAGUCAUCCAAAGAAAAGAGGAAUGAUUCUUCCUUUUGAACCUCAUUCCCUUACCUUUGAUGAGGUUGUAUACUCCGUUGACAUGCCACAGGUAAUAUUAAUUUUAAACUAAUUAGGCAAUAUUUAGAAAGCUCGAUGAUAUCUUGAUCCAUUUCAAUGUAGUCCAGGCAUGAUGACCAAUUGGUUCGAUUUUACAUUGUAGGAAAUGAAACUUCAAGGUGUUCUUGAAGACAAAUUAGUGCUUCUGAAUGGUUUGGGCGGUGCUUUUCGGCCAGGUGUUCUAACAGCUUUAAUGGGAGUCAGUGGUGCUGGUAAAACUACUUUGAUGGAUGUGUUGUCCGGCAGGAAAACGGGUGGAUAUAUUACUGGGAACAUAACAAUAUCUGGUUACCCGAAGAAGCAAGAAACUUUUGCUCGCAUUUCAGGAUACUGUGAGCAAAAUGACAUCCAUUCUCCUUUUGUUACUGUAUAUGAGUCCUUGCUCUACUCAGCCUGGCUCCGUUUACCACCUGAAGUUGAUUCUGAAACCAGAAAGGUAGGUACUAAAGUCACAUAGAGUGUUAGGUCAUUGAGGGCUAAAACUAGUUAACCUGAGUCAAUGGGCAGGGAAAGAGUUAGAUCCCUAAAUACAUUAUUGGACAUAAUUCAUACUGAUUUAGAGUUUUCCCCUUGAUUUACAGAUGUUUAUUGAGGAAGUCAUGGAGCUUGUGGAGCUGAAACCACUGAUACAAUCAUUUUAGAGUUUUCCCCUUGAUUUACAGAUGUUUAUUGAGGAAGUCAUGGAGCUUGUGGAGCUGAAACCACUGAUACAAUCAUUGGUUGGUUUGCCUGGUGUAAGUGGUCUGUCAACAGAGCAGCGUAAGAGGCUUACCAUUGCGGUUGAGCUAGUGGCUAACCCGUCCAUCAUAUUUAUGGAUGAGCCAACCUCAGGGCUAGAUGCAAGGGCGGCUGCAAUUGUUAUGAGAACUGUUAGAAAUACAGUGGACACUGGAAGGACAGUAGUGUGCACCAUUCAUCAACCAGGCAUUGACAUAUUUGAUGCUUUUGAUGAGGUAAAAAAUGUUAAUUCUUGAUCAAGGUAACGUAAAGUUCCUUUUUUUUUCUCCCCUUUUUUUCUAUGGAUUACAAUUGUUCAACAAUGCAUUGCAGUUAUUCCUAAUGAAGCGAGGGGGACAAGAAAUUUAUGUUGGGCCAUUGGGUCGCCAUUCUUGCCAACUUAUCAGCUAUUUUGAAGUAUGUGCCGAUGCACGUUAUCAUAUUACAAUGGAAAUCCAACUUGAGUAUCAUUUUGAAGUGACUUGCAUAAUUUUCAUCUUGAAACUAUCUGAUGCAUGUUUAUUCGUUUUUAUAAGGCUAUUCCUGGAGUUGAGAAAAUUAAAGAUGGUUACAAUCCGGCCACUUGGAUGUUGGAAGUAACUGCUUCAUCCCAAGAGGUAGCUUUGGGAGUUGAUUUUAAUGAUAUUUUCAGAUGCUCAGAAUUAUACAGGUACAUUCAUGAAGUACUAACACUACUAACUGCAAUCCAUUCACCUCUCUGCCAAUGCAUUUGUUUAGUUCAAAAUUUUGAAUUGGCAAUGUGUCUCAGGAGAAACAAAGCACUUAUUGAAGAAUUAAGCAAGCCUACUCCAGGUUCAAAGGACCUCUAUUUUCCUACCCAGUACUCGCAGUCAGCUUUCACUCAAUUCGUGGCUUGCUUAUGGAAACAACACUGGUCAUACUGGCGAAAUCCACAAUACACUGCUGUUAGAUUCUUUUUUACAGCCUUUAUAGCAGUGUUGCUUGGGUCAUUGUUUUGGGACAUGGGCUCUAAAACGUUAGUUACAGCCUUGGAAACUGGAACAUUAUAAAUUUAAAUAUUAUUCUUAGUCUUGUUUUCUCAUCUGCCUUUUAAUAUUAAUUUUCACUUUUUAAUUUAUAGGAGAAAGAGCCAAGAUCUGUUUAAUGCAAUGGGCUCCAUGUUUACUGCAAUUAUCUUCCUCGGCCUUCAAUAUUGUUCAUCCGUGCAGCCAGUAGUAUCUGUUGAAAGGACAGUCUUUUACAGAGAAAAAGCCGCUGGCAUGUACGCGGGCCUUCCGUGGGCAUUAGCACAAGUAAUCGUUUGACACAUGCCUAUCUGAAAUGUUAUAAGAAAUGUGUUUCAUUACUGAUAUUUAGAUUUUUCUUUUUGGCAGGCCAUGAUUGAGAUUCCUUAUAUAUUUGUUCAGUCAGUAGUGUACUGUGUUAUAGUCUAUGCUAUGAUGGGAUAUGACUGGACAGCCGAGAAGUUCUCUUGGUAUUUUUUCUUCAUGUACAUCACAUUAUUGCUCUUCACCUUCUAUGGCAUGUUGACAGUGGCUAUAACACCAAACCACCACAUUGCUGCCAUUGUUUCGACUUUAUUUUACGGGAUAUGGUACCUCUUUUGCGGAUUUGUAAUCCCAAGACCUGUAAGUACUAUUCUGCUAUUUCUAUUUCUAUUUCAUAUGCUAGAUUCUCUAGUUACAGAAUUUCUGUUACCGAUUCUUUCCUCAUCUUUCACCUUUUUCAAACCGCAGAGGAUUCCUGUAUGGUGGAGAUGGUACUAUUGGGCAAACCCUAUAGCUUGGACCCUGUAUGGAUUGAUUGCUUCACAGUUUGGGGAUGUGGAGGACCAAAUGGAAAAUGGUGAAACAGUGAAGCACUUUCUUAGAGAUUAUUUUGGUUUCAAACAUGAUUUGCUGGGAGUAGUUGCGGGUGUUCUUACGUGCUUUGUAGCCCUCUUUGGUUUUGUCUUCGCCCUAGGAAUCAAGCAGCUUAAUUUCCAGAGGCGAUAGAAAUUUAAUAGCAUCUUGAAGAUCAAGUUUGUGAUUUAGGACUUGGUAAAAGGCUUGCGGGCAAGCCUGUUUUAAGGAGUGGGGAAUAAUAUUAGGACUCUUGUAGUUUAUUUUAAUUUCUUUUCUAUUAAGAUUAGAUUUUCUUAUUGCAGUUAUAAUUAAGGGUACUAACUAAAUUAGAACUAAGAUUGUAUCGAACUACUAUAAAUAAGUAAUAAAAUUAAUUCUAACCCCAGUUAGUUUUUCUCUCUCCCCUCUAAAUAGCUUGUGUAUAUUUUCUCACACCUAUGCCAAGACAUUUUUCUUGCUGUUAUUAUAGUGGUUUUGAUUUCAAUGCAAGAAAUAAUACUGUUAAUGUCCCCCCAAGUGUGAAUCCAUAUGAAAGUUGAGUCAUGUUGCAUGAGAUACAAGAUGGAACUUGUUUAAGUUUUGAUAUGGGACACAGCUUAUGCUUUUCUUUUCUGCAUCUUAUCAUAUCUCUCUUUUUGUCUUCCUUUUUGUGGUUAAUUUUUAGGUGCUAGCUAUAUCAUACUUCUAGAAUAUGCAUAAUUGAAUAUUUGAAAUAAAGACAAAUGCGGAAAAGGGGAGAAAUGAAUAUAAUAAUAACAUUCAAAGCAAAUGUGUUGGGGUCAUUAAAGCAUACCAAAAGGUCACUACUUUUAGGCUUUAGCCCCAAUUUACUGCAAGAAGUUGGGACUUUGUAGUUUGGAAAAUCACAAUAUUGCUUUUUGAUCCAACUGUGUCUGAAUUAUCUCAGCUUUUCAUUUCUUUGAUUAAAAAAACAAAGUUUUUUUUUUUCCUACUGUAUUUGAAUUAUUCAUCUCUUUGAUUAAAAAACAAAAUAAGUGAAACAAAACGGUUUGACAUUUAAGCGCAGAACUGUUUCUGCAUUUUGUCUCUCUCUCCCUCUCCUUCAACUUUGUUGUGAGAAAAGGCUGUGGUUCAAUGAUUAGGGUGAUGAAUUUUUGUGUUAGGAAAAAUUCAAAUAACACAAAAUGGGAUGAGAAUUUCCAAACGCAAGGUAGGUGAAGGCACAGAAAGUUCAACUUUGUAACACACCUUCAUUUAAAAUGUGAGACUUAACCUAGUUGUCUGCAAAAGCACCUUAUGAAUUUAAAAGAUGGGGAAUUUUCAAAUCAGCAGCCAAAUAAAUUAACUUACUUUCAAUUUACCGAAAUGUUAACACAAUCCCAUUUAUUAUUAAGAAUACCAAAAAAUAAUAAUAAAAUAAAAAUAGAUCUUUAAGACGCCCCUCUUUAUCCUAGUCUUUUAAAUAAGAGCGUUGAUAUUUUCAAUAAGUUUAGACUUGAAUUGAUAGUUUCAAUAGGUUAAGAUUUAAUCUGAAGGGAAUGGGAUAAACUAAAAUUUACUCUCUAAAAGAUCUAUACGUACCGUUAAUGAAGAAAACAUGUAUAUUUUAUUAUAGAAAGCAUUUUUAUCAUCCAUAAGAUGGAGGGUUUGAGUUUUCUUAUAAUUAUGGGAGUAAGUGCAUGGUUGGUAUAGCUUUCAAAUGGUCAAUCCCAUAAGUUUUCUUUUUGUUAAUUUUUAAUGUUGCUUGCUUGUAUUUUGAGUAUAGCUUUUGGAGGUUAAAUAAACUAUUUUAUCUUAUAUUAGUAAAAGCUCAAAUUUUACAAUUUUAAGAGUAAAGAUUGGAUUUUUUUUUGAAUUGUCUAAAAUAUCCUUUUCUUGUCUCACAAUUUUAUUUCAUUUUUUUUUCAUAACAUAACUAUAAGAAACUUACUUUCAAAAUAAUUUUAUAAUUUUUAAUAAAAAUUUCCAUUGAUAAUCAAUAUAACUAAUUUUUUUAAAAUCUCUAUUUAUAAACAAGGUUGGACAUCAGAUUGGAUUUGGACAGAUCCAAUCUAAUCUAUACAAAUUCAUACCAAAUUCAGAUUUGGUUUCAAAUACGAUCGGAUAUAAUUUGUGUAUGUAAUUGGAUUAGAUGUGGAUCAGAUCUAAUUCGAGUCAAUUCGAAUAAUCCAAAUUGGAUUGCACUGCUACUUAAAAAAGAAAAAAAAAACAAAAUAUAAAAGCAGAAACUAAGAAAAUGAAAACCUAAUUCCAAAAUCACCAAGAUACAAGGUAGCCGCAACCCAUGACCACAAACCACACUCAUGACGUGACGCACACAGCGACCCACGCCACCAACAGUAUAAACCAAAUGAACCCCGCUACAUCUGGAUCGACGUCCAGCCACCAUGGCGUCCCCCAGACCCACUAUGUCGAAGAUAGUCAAGACACAAUGGGAAAAUCCAGCCCAGCUCUCUUCCAAUGAGAUUAUCAAUAACCAAAAGAAGAGACUGACAAUGAUUGAUGUCACCGCCUAUACUAUUGUAGAUUUCAUGAUUUUUUUGUGAAAAUUGUCUAAAAGGUCCCAAAUCUAAUUUCAAUCCAAACCGAUCUAAAUUUGAACUUAUUCGAAAUAUUCAUCUCAUUCGAAUUUGAUCUGAGCUAAUUCGGAUCGAACUGAAUUAAAUAUAAGGUUUCGAUUGAGAUCGAAUGAAUUUUUUCUCAAUCUAAAUUAUCCGAAAUCUGAUUGAAUAUCUUAUCCGAAUCCGAAAUUGUCCAACCCUAUUUGUAAAAGCUCUAUUAAAAUAAAUUUUACUUGAAAAGUUAUUUCAAACGAAUUAAAAAAUAAAUGCUUAUAUAGUAAUAAGAUAUCAAAUUUCUUCUCCUCCAUUUUCUCAUUCUUUUCUUUUGACUUUAAACAUGAAAAUAAAGAAAAUAAAAUCAUCGACAUUUUGAGCGGAUCUAAUAUAUAUAUAUAUAUAUAUUUUUUCCCCUUCCCUUCCUACUAAUGUUGAACGUGAAUUUUAUAUUUGCGGUUGUUUACCAGACCCACAAUUUAAUAUUUUCUUGAAUUUUUUUUCAAAUUGGAUUUUUUAUUUGUGAAAAUAUUAAACAUUAUACAGAUGGCGACAGAGGGCUUACCGAAUUAAAAAAUAGAGAGAAAGAACAAGAAAAGAACAUCGUUUUGCUGCUGUUUCUAUCAAUUCAGGGACCUACUGUCAUCGUAUUGUGCAAGUUGUUUAGCGUUGCUCUUAAUUUAUUUAAUGUGUAAGUUGAACCUUAUUCAUUAGUCACUGCAUGCAUUUUGAUUUUUCCAAGUUUCCAAAUUUAAGUUUUAUUAUAUAUAGGUAACUGUUCCAAUCCGGGAGUCCCGGAUUGGAACAGUUUCCGGGACAAAAAUUAGUGGCUUUUGGAUUUCAAUCCAAAGGCCACUAGUAGCUGCACAUGGUGGAAUCCAAAGGCCACCGGUGGCUGCACAUGGUGGGGUCCACCAUGUGCAGCCCACAAAUUAAAAAAAAAAAAAAAAAAAAAUUAAAAAAAAAAAAAAAAAAAAAAGAAGCCACCAGCGGCCGUUGGAUUGAAUGGCCCUGCUGGAUUUCCGAAUCCCGGAUUGGAUCACUGUCCUAUAUGUAUAUAAUUUUAAUUGGGUGAGGUAAUCAUGAGAAGUUUGAUUCAAAACAUAAAGGGGUGUGCAAAAUGAGGGUGGAUAAAAUUUUAGUGUUUAAAUAUAUACACAUAUGUAAUACAAGUAUUGGUUUAUUUUAGCAAAAUGUACAUGCUUUUAAAAUUGUCAUAUUUUUAUUAACUUUUUUAUCAUACAUGUUUUUUAAUUAAUCAUGAUAGUAUUCAUACACACGUGGUAAAAGGUAAAUGAAAAUAAUGUAAAUGCUCUUACAUUAUCCGCGACUCUCUCAAUCAUAAUCUUAAAAGUCAAACUAUUUAAACUACAUAAAAAAAUAAUCGAUUUAAUCCAUUUAUUCUAUGCACACAUUAACAAAAUUUAAAAAUUAAAAUCUCAUUUUACAAAGCUCUCAUAAUUUUCAAAUUAACCAUGAUCACAUUUUCAUUCUCCUACUUUUUGUUUCCUUUCUAACCCAUGAAAUUUUCUUGUGCAAUAUUCAAACCUUAUUCUAAUUCUUUUUCUAUCUGGCUUCACUGUCAAAAUUUUCUUCAUAGCGAAGAGACAUCAAAUUUGUCUUAACAUUUUUACCUUUUUCUUUGAUGUUGACUUUAAACUUGAAGAUAAAGAAAAUAAAAACACUUGACUUUAGAAUUGGCAUUUUUCAUUCUUUUGAUUGACCAUGCGCCUCCGUUGAACGAUCAAAUGGGUGCUACAACUUGCGAUAUCCUCAUUUUCUAUUUAUAAAUGUUCAAAUGAUAAUUAUAUCCUUGAAAAAAUAAUUAUACACAUCUUAAAUUUUUAAGAAGGGAUAUUAAGACCUCUAUUUAACUAAAAUACCUUUUGGUUUUAUAAACUCGAAAAAAUUAACUCUAAUAUUUUGUAAUAGAUAAAAAUAUAAUAUUAAAAUAAAUGUAAUAAUAUAUACAUUUUAAAAAAUACACCUAGUAGCUGCUGUACCNNNNNNNNNNNNNNNNNNNNNNNNNNNNNNNNNNNNNNNNNNNNNNNNNNNNNNNNNNNNNNNNNNNNNNNNNNNUUUAAAGCUAACUAUUUUAGCUGCUCUAUUUAAAUGGUACUACAAUAAAAAAAUGAUCCUAAUAUUCUUCUUCACUAAAAAAUGUGUUAGUUUGUUUGACUAUUCUCCGAGACAUUAGGGUAUGGUAAAUCUUUUUCUUUUUAUAAAUCAACAUUUUAAAAUAAUAAUGUAUUAAAUUAUAAUAUAUUAUUUCCCCAUCAAAAAGAAUUUUAACUAUUAAAAUUAAUAUUUUAUCGAAACUUUCAAGAGUUUUUAAUUUGGCCGGUCAUCCGAGUAGCUUUGGAAGGAAUUUAAUUUAAUUGGUCUUGCGUUUGAAUCAGGAGUAAGAGGCUUUGUCCACCGAACCGAUCUUUUUUUUUUCUUUUUUCGUUUAAAGUAAAAUAUUAAAAAAAAAAGUUUAUGUAAUGCUUCCAAAACUUAAAAAUAAAUGGAAAAAAAAUUAGAACUGAAAUUCACUUCCGAAACACAAAAAUCCAUCAGAAUAACGAAGGAUAGUGAGGGAAUUGGGUAAUGUGAUGACUAACAAGAAGCCUUUUAAAUCAAAAUUAUCCGCUAUUUUUCUCAAUACGGCGGCGGCGGAGAAGCUCAGCCUUAUGCUGUGCCGGGACGACGAGAUUUUUUUCCCUUAAUUAAUUAAUUAAAAUGAAGAAGCUUCACAAAAGAUUUGAUGCAUUUUUUAGUUCAUUUUUUUUUUAAUAAUUGAGCAAGAUGGACGGUCGUGAUGGAGGGAAUGACCAUACGGACUUGCUGACGGUCAAGAGAAGCUCACGUUCACUGAGACGGAAAAUGAAUGCUUCUGCCUUUGGUAUAUUAUAAUUCCCAUCUCUUUUGUCUAAGAUUUUGUGUGUGUGUGUGUGUGUUUUUUUUUUUAAUUUAAAUAUAUUAACACGAAUUUUUUGUCUAAGAUUAUGUCCUUUUAACUUAUGUUUAACGUUAAAUAAUUUUUUUAUAAUUUUAUAAUGUCGACCAACGAAAAUCAGGAAAGGCAUGAGCUAAUUAAUUUAGUAUUGGAUCUUUUUACUUGAAUACAGUCUUGAAAACAGUCUUGAAAAUGCCUUUUUAAUAAUUAAAUUAUUAAAUUCUUGGUUGCCUCUACAAUUAAUUUAAUAAUUAAAUUUUUCGUUUUAUUUUUAUUUUUUUUUAAAAAGUAAUUAAUGCGGGGAAAUGGCAGUAACAGAGUACGUCACUAAUUCGCUAUACGAUCCGGAUCCGGAUCCGGUGAUUGUGGUCCCCACCUCCCAUGUUUGAGGGGUCUUAAUUGGAAAAUUAAAUUGAAGGGUUAAAGUAAUCUUCAUUUCAAAAUUGGCGUGCUUUGACUUUCUCCACGUCAAGCGUUGAUUGUUGUUUGUGUCCAGCCAUUUGUCUCAGUCAGUUGUCUUGUGGGUAAUGUCCAAGUACGUGACAUUAGUGUUACUUAUUCUAAAAGGCCAAAACUACGUUGCCACACGGGUUUCGUACCCCACUUUUUUGUCUUUUUCUAAGUCAAUUACAGUGAAAUCCAUUUAUUUGUUAAAAAAUUUAAAAAAACUAAAGACUUUUAUUUUUUCACACAUUAGUCCUACACCUAAAAAUUUUCAGGUUCUGUGAUACUUCUAGAAGUCAUAAUCUAUUUUAGAAACACCUUUCGAUUUGAAGAUGCCAAACAUGAACACAAUACUCCGACAUCGCAGACUUGUGCAAUUUGGACAAUAUAAGUUUUUUUUUUUUUUUGUAUUGCAAUAUAUGUAGAGAAGAGAAUGCAUAAUUUGCCAGAAUAAGAAAUCCAUUUCACUACCAAACUAAAAACUAAAAAAAUAAAAAAAUUAGUCAUGGGCUCAUGGCCAUGGUCCUAUUUUCCAACACUUAGCCAUUCAGAUAUAUAUAUAUAUAUAUAUGAGUGGUAAAUUUGAUACAAUUAUUAUUUAAUUGGUCAUAUCCUUGUCAAUUAGGGAUGUGUGCUAAUGGCUAUUUAAAAUAUUGGGGUGAAAUAACAAAAGUCAAUUUAUUUAAGUGUGCAAUUAAAUUUAGUCUUUUUAUUUAAGAACAAAAACUCAACCAAAAAUACAAAAUUCUUGUUCAAAUGAGCAAAAAUGAUUUUAUGAAUUGAUAAACUAACACUUUAUUAUCAUUAGUAAAUUAAUAAAUUUUUUCUACAUAAUCAAAUAAUUGAUAGUAUGCUAAAUAAAUAUUAUAUUACAAUAAAAUAAUAAAACAUUAAUUAUAUAUAAUAUAAAAUUAAAUCAAUUUUCAUAUUUUGUAUAUUUUAUCUAUUUGAGAUAGUAAAAUCUCUUGUGUUAGAGAAAAAAAAAAAAAAAAGGGUAUGAUGUGCAUCAAUUAUACAUUUCAUUUACACAUCGAUAACGUUGUUAUCAAUAAUAAAAAAUUUAUCAUAAACUAAUUCUAUCAUAACAAGAUUAUGUGUGGUUGCUAUUUAUUAAAUCUUAUCGUUUCGUAUUUAAACGGUGCAUUUAUCAAUGUAACAAUAGUUAGUCAAGGCACGAGUUUCGUAUUCCAAUUCUAUCCCCAUUCUAGAAUUGAACCAGUCCUAGUCAUUAGUCAAAGUCUGUUGAGUAACCUUGUGAUGUUGUAUCGAGUCUUGAUUACUUUUCUUGCAGCAUGGCAAGGAAAUUUUUUCACACCAAUUAAUAAAAUCAGUCGGCCGUUUCCCCGUCAAUUCAUAACAAGUUAAAUAGGUAAACAAUGUGACUGGGUACCAGCUGCUCGGAAAUUUCUAAAGAAAUUUUUUUUUUAAAACUCUUUAUUCUGCUGCCAAAAGUCUACGGUCAAGAAUCCAUCACUUUCCUCAACUGCCCGACAUUAGAUAGCAAUGAAUAUAGACCCAUUAGGUGGCUGGAGCCCGUUAGCUUAAGAAAAUUAAAUUUCAUGAUUUUUUUUUUCUUUUAGUUAAGAAUAAAGUUUUCAAAUAUCUUCCUAAACAAGAGAACGUAUGAAACUCAAUAUGAAAAGAGUAAUUUAUCAUUGAAAUUAGAGUUAGAUAUUUAUUAUUUAAUACAUUUUUUUUUUGUUUUAUUCCUUGACAUGCACCAACAAUUUACAUAAACUUAUACACUAAAUUUAAAAUUUAGCUCGGCCUAAUGAAAGAUCCGGAGCCUACCCCUGGAAUAUUGAUAUUUAUAGUAGAAAAAAAAGUCUAUGCCCCGAUCAUUUUAUAUUGCUACAACGACUUGUUCACGGAGGGUAGAUGAGGGAAAUGAUUAUUUGAGCCGCCGGUGCCAUAUACCAGUCAAUUUAUGCUGUUGUAUGCAAGAUAUAAAUAAAUGGUUACGUGGGUCACUAAUGGAUCAAGUCAUAGUAGGAGCAAUUGCUCUGUCAAAUUAAUUAGUACCCAUUUCUCCGUGCUUGAACUUCUCUUUGUUGAGUUCAACAAUAGAGAGAAAAAAGCACUCCUCGGUUUUGGUUGGUUUCAGCAGCUCUGAGCAUCUUGAGUUGCCAUGGAGGGCACCCACGAUAUUUUCAUGGCUAGUACUAGCUUGCGUCGGAGCGCUUCUAGAUGGAACACAAAUUCCAUCGGUGCAUUUUCGAGGUCUUCCAGGGAAGAAGACGAUGAGGAGGCUCUAAAAUGGGCUGCUCUCGAGAAAUUGCCUACCUAUAACCGUUUGAGGAAGGGGAUAUUAACUACCUCACGAGGUGAAGCUAAUGAAGUUGAUGUUUACAACCUUGGGCUGCAAGAAAGGCAGAGGUUGAUUGAUAAAUUGGUUAAAGUUACUGAUGUUGAUAACGAGAGGUUCUUGUUGAAGCUCAAGAACCGUAUUGAUAGGUAAAAAACUUUCAGUUCUUCAGCAGCUGUAACUGAUAUUCAUAUAACUAUUUCAUGCUGUCAGUAAUGUUCUGUUUCCACCUUAAACAAAUAGAAAAGUUACAUAAUCCGUAAGCUAAUCUUGAAUUGCCUUUGUUUUAAACAAAUAUUAAGUUUGAAUUGAUUUCUCUCAUAUUGGAUUGUAAAGGAGCAAUCUACAGUUUUAUGGACUAAUCUUUUGGAUAAAAACUCGGUGUCAGAGCAGACCUUUUUCGAGAGAGUGUGUGUGUGUUUGUCAGAGUUCUUUUUUUUCAUGUGUAUGUUGUGUCCACCAUUUUUUUUUUUUCAAGAGCGUGUUGUAUUUUGGUCAUGAUUCUGAUUUUUUUCUUUGAUUUUUGGCAGAGUUGGAAUAGACCUUCCAAAAGUCGAAGUACGAUAUGAACAUUUGAAUGUUGAAGCAGAAGCAUUUUUAGCAAGUAAUGCCUUGCCAUCGUUCAUUAAAUUCUAUACCAACAUCUUUGAGGUACCAAUCUUCAAAUGCAAAAAUUAUUAUUUUUUUAAUCAUCUUUUGUUAAUUUCUCAGCUCAAAUUCAAAUAAUCUGUAUUUGUUUGCAGGAUCUCUUGAACUAUCUCCGCAUUAUUCCAAGUAAAAAGAGACACUUGACAAUCCUGAAGGAUGUCAGUGGAGUCAUAAAGCCGGGAAGGUGAAAAUUAAAUACCUAUUGUUUCUUAAUUUACUUGUUUUUCUAUGAAUAUGUUGGUAGUGAUCACAAAUUGAGCCCAUCUCUUUUCUCGCAGAUUGACAUUGCUUCUGGGUCCCCCAAGUUCUGGAAAGACCACACUAUUGUUGGCUUUGGCCGGGAAGCUUGAUCCUACUCUGAAGGUGAUUAUAUAGUUAAAAGCUCUAAUUAUUUAGGAGGGGUUUGGCUUUUACCUUUGCUUUUCGAUCUUUGAUUUUCUCCCUAAUUUGAGAAUCAAAACAUCUCUCUGUAGGUUUCUGGUAGGGUUGCAUACAACGGUCACGAUAUGGAUGAAUUUGUGCCUCAGAGAACAGCUGCUUAUAUCAGUCAACACGAUAAUCAUAUAGGUGAAAUGACUGUGAGAGAAACUUUGGCCUUCUCUGCUAGAUGCCAGGGGGUUGGAACCCGUUAUGGUAGGUGUAUAUAUAUAUAUAUUUUUUUUUAAUUUCUUCCUUCAAGUAAAGAACUCAGAUUAAAGGUUUCUGCCUUUUGGGAAGUGCAGAAAUGUUAACUGAGUUGGCAAGAAGAGAGAAGGCAGCAGGUAUUAAGCCUGAUCCGGAUAUUGAUGUCUACAUGAAGGUGAGAGAAGCUGAAGUUUGUUUAAACUUUAAAACAUGUUUAGCAUUUAGCCAAUUUGAUUCCAGAAAAGAGAAAAAAAAAAAUCAUUGGAUGUAAAAUCUGAUGAAUUAUGAGUUUCAGUUUUAAGCCUGGCUUCACUCAAGUGCUCCUAUGUCUCAAAAUCCUAGUACAUGAACUUUGAGAUUCAAUUCUUUAUAUCAUUUUGUUGAAUUACAUAUAUUUUAAGCUUGGCAUUUUACCUUUCACCUCACGAGAAAAUAGAUUUAGAUCGGAAACAACCUUAUGGAGAUUGAUUUGAACUCUUGGUGAUUGAGUUUCUUGUAUUUCUCUGUCAAUUCUCGUCUCAGGCUAUAGCAACUGAAGGCCAAGAAGCCAAUGUGAUCACUGAUUAUUAUCUUAAGGUAACAUAUUUAUGAAUCACUCUAAAAUUGCGAAUUAUGAUCAAGAACAAGUAAAUAAUGUCACGUGUUUGAAUGCUUCUCCUUAUGAACAUAUAGGUUCUGGGACUGGAUGUCUGUGCAGACACCAUGGUAGGUGAUGAAAUGAUAAGAGGUAUAUCAGGAGGACAGAAGAAGCGUGUUACGACUGGUAAAUACCAAACUCCAUAAAUUCAUUUUGAUUGUGGUCAGAUACAAAACAGUUAUCUCUUUUCAUUCAAACAUAUGAUAAAUCGUAAAUUAAAUUAUAGGUGAAAUGAUGGUUGGACCAGCAUUGGCACUAUUUAUGGAUGAGAUUUCUACUGGUUUGGACAGCUCGACAACUUUCCAAAUUGUUAAUUGUCUCAGGCAAAAUAUUCACAUCAAUAGUGGAACUGCUGUGAUAUCUCUCCUACAGCCAGCACCAGAAACUUAUGAUCUAUUUGAUGACAUUAUCCUUCUAUCCGAUGGCCAGAUUGUAUACCAGGGUCCUCGCGAACUGGUACUAGAGUUUUUUGCAUCCAUGGGCUUUAGAUGCCCCAAAAGGAAAGGCGUGGCUGACUUCUUGCAAGAAGUAUGCGGUGAUAGAGCUCUAUAUUUGAUGUUUCAGUUUCUAAAUAUUUAUAGAUAAUACAGAAGCUUAUAACAUUCUAAAACUAUAACGAGCCUCACACAUUACUAUUUCUAUUCAAUCUUUACAAAUAAUGUGUUCCAGGUAACAUCAAGGAAAGAUCAAAGGCAGUAUUGGGCACAUAAAGAGAAGCCUUACAGGUUUGUUACAGUCCAGGAAUUUGCUGAGGCAUUCCAAUCAUUCCAUGUGGGACAGAAAAUUUCUGAUGAGCUUCGGACUCCAUUUGAUAAGAGCAAGAGCCAUCGAGCUGCUUUGACCACAGAAACAUAUGGUGUUGGCAAGAGAGAGUUGUUGAAAGCUAACAUCUCAAGAGAACUUUUGCUGAUGAAGAGGAACUCAUUUGUCUACAUCUUCAAACUCAUUCAAGUGAGUACCAACAUAGUUUUGAAUUGUUUUAAUUGUUGCUUCAUGUGAUAACUAUUUAUUGAUUGGUUUUUCCCCCUGGCUUUAGAUUGCAUUUGUUGCAGUGGUCUACAUGACACUCUUCUUGAGAACAAAAAUGCACAAAGAUACAGUAACUGAUGGUGGAAUUUUUGCUGGUGCCACGUUCUUCGCCAUCACAAUGGUCAAUUUCAAUGGAUUUUCGGAGAUUUCUAUGACCAUAGCAAAGCUUCCUGUCUUCUACAAGCAAAGAGACUUCCGGUUCUUUCCUCCGUGGGCAUAUGCUAUUCCCUCAUGGAUUCUAAAGAUCCCUGUCUCGUUCCUGGAGGUUGCUGUUUGGGUUUUCCUAUCAUAUUAUGUUGUUGGGUAUGAUUCCAAUGCUGGAAGGUAAUCACAGAGAAAAUGAACCAAAUUUUUUAGUAACCAGUAAAGUUUUAGUUCCAUGAUCUCUUUAUCAAGGUAGUUUAUGUGAUGGUUUUCAUGUUGCAGGUUUUUUAAGCAGUACGCGCUGCUCUUGGGUGUUAACCAGAUGGCUUCUGCAUUGUUCCGAUUCAUUGCAGUAACCGGCAGAAACAUGGUUGUUGCUAACACAUUUGGUUCAUUUGCAUUACUUGUACUUUUGUCAUUGGGUGGAUUUAUCCUUUCGCGAGGUACAGAAAAUAUGCAAGUAAACCAGAUUAAAUUAGCUUCCUUAGAAAAAUUUAUCUUUAAUACUUCCAUUUCAUUUUUUCAUAAUGCAGAGGACAUAAAAAAAUGGUGGAAAUGGGCUUACUGGUGUUCUCCUUUGACAUACGCACAGAAUGCAAUAGUGGCAAAUGAAUUUUUGGGGCAUAGUUGGAAAAAGGUAAUUCUUGAUCUUUUUCCUUGAUUGUGUAUUUAGCUGUUAGUAACAUUACUGAUGCUGGUAACUUUUUCAUAUCACAGUUUACUCAAGACUCAAGUGAAACGCUUGGGGUGCAAGUUUUGAAGUCCCGUGGGUUCUUCGCACAUGAAUAUUGGUAUUGGCUUGGAUUGGGGGCUUUGUUUGGCUUCGUACUGCUUUUGAACUUCGCUUACACAUUGGCUCUUACUUUUCUUGAUCGUGGGUUGCUCCUACCUUCUUCACUUUCUUAAAUUACUUCUAUAGCAGUGAGUUUCUGUUCUAAUUUCCUCCAAAAUUUUUUUACAGCAUUUGAGAAGCCUCGGGCUGUCAUAACGGAGGAAAUUGAAAGUAAUGAGCAAGAUGAUAGAAUUGGAGGAAAUGUUCAGUUAUCAACCCUUGGAGGUAGUUCUAACCACAACACUCGCUCAGGUGAUAAAAGUAUUUUGAUAUAUUUGAGGAAAAAAAUGAGAUACUUUUGUAAAUGCCUUCUGAAGCUAAUAAAUUAUGUUUAAAAUGCAGGGAGUACAGAUGACAUUAGGGGACAACAGUCCUCUUCCCAAUCCUUAUCACUGGCAGAAGCGGAGGCCAGUCGUCCGAAGAAAAAAGGAAUGGUUCUUCCAUUUGAACCUCAUUCCCUUACCUUUGAUGAGGUUGUAUACUCUGUUGACAUGCCAGAGGUAACAUUAAUUUGAAAACCAUUUAAGAUGUUUAGAGGUUUUGUUGAUUUCUUGAUUCAAUACUAUGUAAUCGAGCAUGAUGACCAAUUGAUUUGUUUAACUUUACAGGAAAUGAAAGUUCAAGGUGUUCUUGAAGAUAAAUUAGUGCUUUUGAAUGGCGUGAGCGGUGCUUUCCGGCCAGGUGUUCUUACAGCUUUAAUGGGUGUCAGUGGCGCUGGUAAAACCACUUUGAUGGAUGUCUUGGCUGGCAGGAAAACUGGUGGAUAUAUUACUGGUAACAUAACAAUAUCUGGUUACCCGAAGAAGCAAGAAACAUUUGCUCGCAUUUCAGGAUACUGUGAGCAAAAUGACAUCCACUCUCCUUUUGUUACCAUCUAUGAGUCCUUGCUCUUUUCGGCCUGGCUCCGUUUAUCACCUGAAGUUGAUUCCAAAACCAGAAAGGUAGGCACUAAAGUCACCUAGAGUGUUAGGUCAUUAAGGGCUAAAACUAGUUAAACUGAGUCAACAGGCAGGGAAACAGUUAGAUUCCCUAAAUACAUUAUUGGACAUAAUUCAUACUGAUUUAGAGUUUUACCCUUGAUUUACAGAUGUUUAUUGACGAAGUAAUGGAGCUUGUGGAGCUGAAUCCGUUGAGACAAUCACUGGUUGGUUUGCCUGGUGUAAGUGGUCUUUCAACAGAGCAGCGUAAGAGGCUUACCAUUGCGGUUGAGCUUGUGGCUAACCCAUCCAUCAUAUUUAUGGAUGAGCCAACCUCAGGACUAGAUGCAAGAGCCGCUGCAAUUGUUAUGAGAACUGUUAGAAACACAGUGGACACUGGAAGGACGGUAGUGUGCACGAUUCAUCAACCAAGCAUUGACAUAUUUGAAGCUUUUGAUGAGGUAAGAAAUGUUAAUUCUAGAUCAAACGAGCUUUAAGCUUUUUCGUUUUUUUUCUUCCCUUUGUCUUUUCUUUUCCUCUCAUUGAUUAAUAUUGUUCAAAAAUAUGUUGCAGCUAUUCCUAAUGAAGCGAGGGGGACAAGAAAUUUAUGUCGGGCCAUUGGGUCGUCAUUCUUGCCAUCUUAUCAGCUAUUUCGAAGUAUGACCUAAUGGAUAUUCUCAUAUUACAAUUGAAAUCUAACUUGAAACAACAUUGCAAGUGACUGGUUUAUUUUAUAAUACGGAAAUAGCUGAUGAACGUACAUUUGUUUUUUCUAGGCAAUUCCCGGAGUACAAAAGAUUAAAGAUGGUUACAAUCCAGCAACUUGGAUGUUGGAAGUUUCAGCUGCUUCGCAAGAAUUGGCUUUGGGGAUUGAUUUUACCGAACAUUACAAGCGCUCAGAUUUAUACAGGUAUGUUAUCAUGUACCACUAGUUUACAUAACCAAAAUCCAUUCAACAGUUUGCCGGUGCAUUUGUUUAGCUAUAAAUUAAUGCUGAUGUAUGCCAUGUGUAUCAGGAGAAACAAAGCACUCAUUGAAGAUUUAAGCAGGCCUCCUCCUGGUUCAAAGGACCUCUAUUUUCCUACUCAAUUUUCGCAGUCAUCUUGGAUCCAAUUUGUGGCUUGCUUAUGGAAACAACACUGGUCAUACUGGCGAAACCCACCAUACACUGCUGUUAGAUUUUUCUUCACGGCCUUCAUAGCAUUGUUGUUUGGCUCGUUGUUUUGGGACCUGGGUGGUAGAACGUGAGUUAUAACUAGUUGUCUGGAACAGUUUUGCACUUGAAUGUUAUUCAAAGUCUCUUGUGGUUUCGUCUUCGUUUUGAUCUUUAUUUUGACUUUUUAAUUUUCAGGAAAAGGAACCAAGAUCUUUUCAAUGCAAUGGGUUCCAUGUUUACUGCAGUUCUCUUCCUUGGUGUUCAAUAUUGUUCGUCAGUGCAGCCAAUAGUAUCAGUUGAAAGGACAGUCUUUUACAGGGAAAAAGCUGCCGGCAUGUAUGCAGGCAUACCAUGGGCAUUAGCACAAGUAAUUGUUUGACACAUUUCAUAUAUUUGAAUUGUUAAAUAACCGUGUUUCAUUACUGACUUUUAAUUUUUUUCCUGCAGGUUAUGAUUGAGAUUCCUUAUAUAUUAGUUCAGUCAGUAGUGUAUGGUGCUAUAGUCUAUGCUAUGAUUGGAUUUGAAUGGACAGCCGCCAAGUUUUUUUGGUAUAUAUUCUUCAUGUACUUCACAUUAUUGUUCUUCACCUUCUAUGGCAUGAUGGCUGUGGCUUUGACACCAAACCACCACAUCGCUGCCAUUGUUUCAACUUUAUUUUAUGGAUUGUGGAACGUCUUUUCUGGGUUUAUUAUCCCAAGACCUGUAAGUCUCGUCUUCCCAUUUCUAUUUCGGAUGCUAGGUUUUUUCUUUAGGUUAAAUAAUUUUUGUUACUAAUUCUUUCCUCAUCUUUCAACUUGUCAAAAAACAGAGGAUUCCAAUAUGGUGGAGAUGGUACUAUUGGGCCAACCCCAUAGCUUGGACCUUGUAUGGACUGGUUGCUUCGCAGUUCGGAGAUAUGGACGACAAGAAAAUGGAUACUGGUGAAACGGUGAAACAGUUUCUUAAGGACUAUUUUGAUUUCAAACAUGAUUUUCUGGGAGUAGUUGCAGCCGUUCUCGUUGUCUUUGCAGCAUUAUUUGGAUUUCUCUUCGCCCUAGGAAUUAAGAUGUUUAACUUCCAGAGGCGAUAGUAAUUCUGAUAGGUACUGCUGCUGAACAUGCGAUUCAGAAGAAAAAUCGCAUCGCGGAUGCUUUGGCUAUGCUAUAAUCUUUUCAUGCAAUGUCCCGUCAGUGUAUUGUUUAUUUUGAUUUAGCAUUUUCAUUGCUGGCAUUGCAAGAUAUAUUUUGUAUACAAGAUAUGUUUUCUAUCUUUUUAGAUUAAUAAAUUUUCCCUCGCCAGUCAAGGUUAUCUAUAGCAGUUAAUAUUUUGUGCGAAGGAAAUGAUCAUGAAUCUUAGUUCCCAGACAGAUUUCAUUGAUAGGUGAGAAAAGUUCACAACGAGUGAUUCUUUUAUACAAGAGAUGGAGUAAUCAACAAGCAUAUGCGCUUGAUGUCAUCUAGCCAUAGGAUUUGUUAGUCCUAAACUCUACGGCCCCAGAUUCUUCUCAAUGUGGUGUGUACCGUGUAUCUGUGGAGACAAAUUUUGGUAACGUAUACGUUUUUCUUCAAUGACAAGUUCCCUCAGCCUUGCUCUGCAAGUCUCUUCCAGCCUUCCAGGAGAGUGGUGAAAUCACAGUACUGGGCUUGUUUGCUCCGGUUCCUGGGCCGUCUGUUGAGCGUUGGGCCAACUGGCCCAUAGACCUAACUUCUUCAAUAGAAUCAUACGUGUUGAGGAAGUAGCGUGUGAAGAUCUUCGCAAAAAAAAAAAAAGAAGUAAUAAUAAUAAUAAAAUUAAUUUUUUUUUUAAAAAAAAUCAAUGUUUAGAAAAUCAUCCUUUAAUUGACAUAAUUUUGUAAUAUUAUUAAGAGCAUUACUGUGAUUUUAGGAAGGAAGGUGGGUAAAGCUCAAAUGAUAAGCGUGAAAUUGGGUGAAAUUGUGGUUUCUAACUUUUUUUUUAAUAAUUAAAUCACGCUUUUGUUUCAUUUAAAAUAAUUGUAUUUAAUCUUUUGACAACUACCAAUCUAUUUUUUAAAACUAUAUAUUCCUUUGAACAACCUUCAAGCAGACCAGACAAGCUGCAACAAAAUUUUAGUUCUAAUUAUAAGAUAAAAUAUUAGAAAUAAAUCAUCUACAAAGUGGACAAAAUAAUAAGAAUUUUUAAUAUAACCGAACCAAUAUGAUAUCAUGGAAAAUAAUAAUAAUAAUAAUAUAACCAAUAUGAUGUCAACUUUGUUUUUAUUAUCCAAAAUGCUAUUGUUCGAACUUUUAGUGAUUAAUUAAUAUGAUAUCGACUUUAAUUUUAUUAUAUCAUAAGCCUCUGUCAUUAUAUAAAUAAAUCGUACAAGUUAAAUUGUUAUGUGGAUAAAAUUUUAAAUUAAUUCUUUAACCUUUUAUUUUUCUAAAAUUCGAAUUAGGUUAAUUAGUCAAAUCUGUAAAUUGUUUGAAAUACUCAACCAUAGGCAAAAGUCAAAGUAUAUUGCGCAGGAAAAAAAAAAACCACAAAAAUUCAUAAUGCUACCGGAAACAAAAAAAAAAAAAAAAAAACUGAAUUUUAAAUCAUUGUUCAACAAUGGAAACCGUCAAAAACGUCCAUUUCAAAAGUUUAAAUAAACUUUAAUAAACAAGAAUUUAAAAAUCAUCACCUGAGCUUAAUUACUUAAUCCGAUCACCGAGCAAGAGUUAUCUCCAAAGUCAACGUGAGCAUACUUUUCCCCCAUAGACCCGACCGCAUCGUAAAGGAAAUAAAAAAACCGAGGCCGGUUCGUUAACAAGAAAAUGGAGAAUUACAGUAAUAACUUAUAAUUUUUAGAAUACUCUGUUAACUUUUUAUAUAUCAAAAUUUUCGCAGAAAUUUUAUCCAAAUCACUAAACAACCACUGUUAUUUGUUAAAUUUUUUACUCUAACGUGUUAUUAACACAACGUUGAGUUGCUCACUCUCUUUUCAAGAAGUUUAAUACAAUCAUAGUAUGUAAAAACGUGAACAACCUUAUUAAAAUGAGCUGUUUUAAUGGAAGAAAAAUUAAAAUAAAAUAUUGUAAAAAUAUUUUAAACUAUAAUUUCAUCCAUUGCAAUAGUUUUAGGGUCAAAAGUAUGAUGUAUUCUUUAUAUGACUUAUUUUAAUUUAACUUUUUACAUGAAAACUAUAAGGUGGUAUUUGCUGAAUUGGAUUGAAGGGGAGAAGAGGCACGAAAUAAAAGUGAAGGAGAUAGAAAAUGGAGGAGAAAAAAGUGAUUUUCAAUUCCAUUGAUUGGUUUGUACAUGGAAUUCUAAUCGGAAAACGAGUUUUAUGUUUAUUUUCGUUGGGCCAAAAUGCCCUCAUAGUUAUUGUCUAAAAAAAUUAAUUUCUUUAAAUUUCAAUUGUUUUAAUAUAUAUUGAGACACUUUAGAGAUAAAGAGAUGACAGUUGAAAGAACGAGGACAGAAUGAAUUAUAAAGUUGUGUAGUGUUGUAAUGUUAAUUGAUUAUUUUGUUCUUUUUUUUUUUUUUUAACUCCCAUGUAGUUUUAAAAUCAAUUAGUUCCGUCUUCAUUCUAUUAAAAUUGGUCUAUUUAAAUAUCAAUGCUCAAAGAUUAUUGCUGCAUAGCUGUCGUGUGACAAAGCAUAUAUAUGAACUAAGAUUAUAAAAAAAAUUUAUACAGUACAUGCUAUUAAUACAGUACAUGCAUGACAGAAAAUUAUUAAAAAGAUAAGCAUUAAGAUUAUCACCGUUGGAUCCAAAAUCUUGUUCAAUACAGUAAUUAAAGAAGUGGAGACUUCAAGACGACGACAGCAGAUUUGCAAGCCAGCAAGCAGGAAUAUGAAUAUCCCCCCACUCGAUCAUUUAAACAAAUUUGUUAAUCGAUCGAUGCCGGAAGACACUAACAAUGUUUAAUCUAGUAAUUUAAAAAAAAUAAAUAAAUAAAGCACCGUAAGCAUUUGAAUUAAAAAAAAAAUAUGAUCAAACGUUUGGGAUGAUUUUAUAUGAACAAUAUAAUAGCUGCCGGCAGUGACUGGUUCGUUUUUUGGUGGCAUAUAUGAGUACGUUAACGCGACUCGUCAAAGAAAGAGACAAAAGACAUUGUUAUGUAUAAUUCAAACCAAUUAAUUAACGACCAUUUGCGUGUGCUUAAAUACCUCAUUAACUCUCUUGAUCACUUGAACAAAUUAAGAAAGUAAGAAGAAAGCACUUCUGGGUUAUCAUCUCGAGUGAGUUGUAAUGGAGGGUUUAGGAGGUCGUGAUAUGAUUUACACGGCCAGCAAUAGCUUACGCAGAAGUGCUUCCAGAUGGAGGAGCAACUCUCCUGGUGCCUUUUCAGUGUCUUCAUCAAGAGAAGAAGAUGAUGAGGAAGCUCUAAUAUGGGCUGCUCUCGAGAAGUUGCCCACUUAUAAUCGUUUGAGGAAAGGGAUAUUGACUACUUCUAGAGGUGAGGCUAGUGAAAUUGAUGUUAACAAUCUUGGACUGCAAGAAAGGCAAAGGCUGGUUGAUAAAUUGGUGAAAAUCGCUGAAGUUGAUAAUGAGCAGUUCUUGUUGAAGCUUAAGAACCGUAUUGACAGGUAAGAUUUCUCUUUUUCACUGAAGCUGCUGUUGAUAAUUUUCAGUUGACUAUUUCCCUGUAGUAAAAAAUAAAUACUCAUGUACAAUGGGCGUACCAACUCGUCGUAUUUAGAUAGUGCAUCCAAUCAAUUAGAAUAUAUUAUUUCAGUACAUCUAAUGGAUCUUGCCAUUACACUAAUAAAAUUUUUAUUUUAAAUUAUGUGAACUCUUACCAUUUAAAGUGAUUGAUUGGUAAAAUUUCUCUUUUUUCUUGAUGCUACGAUUGAUACAGUUAAAAGGGUAAAAUAUUUAUGUGGGAUGAGUAUACUACUUACUAAUACUACUUACUAACAAAAUUUUAAUGGAAGGUAUGAAAAAAACUAAAAUAUCUCGACUAAAAGUAAGUUAUGCCUAGUUACUUAAUAUUUUAUUUUUUAUUAAAAUUUUAUAAUUUAAUUUUUUGUCAAAUAGUAUCAUUGAACUUUUAUUUUAAUUUCUUUGGAUGGAAAACAUCAAAUUCAUGAUAUCACUAUGGGACCCACAUAACUGAGGUGGCACACUCACCCGGUAAAAGUAUUUCUCGGUCAACGGUUUUUCAACAAUUGAUAUUCAUAUAUGAUUAUUUUAUGCCGUCAACGAUUUUUGCUCCCAUCUUAAACAAAUAGAUUUUUUUUUUAAAAAAAAAUUUAUAUUAGUUACGAUAUAUUAUUAUUUUAAUCAGAAAUCUAUCAAAACAUUUUAAUAUUCGAAAUAAACUCAGUAGCUGCACAAUCAACAUAUUAAUUCAAAUCUCGAUCAACCUGAAUCGAUUAGUUAAAUAAAUUUUCAAUAAACAUAAAUUGCGUAUGCAUGCAUGAAUUUCUGUUCACAACUGUUGAGCUAUCACUUAAACCCUGAUAAGUAGUAUUAAAGCUGCACCCUAAUAACUAGCAUAAGGGGUGGAAGUUAAAAAGGGAAAUUGAGUAAGAAAGUAAUUGAAUUCAAAUUUAUACAAAUUUUUACAUAUUCUAUAUUUGGCCCCUCAUUUUUCAAAGUUCCAUAAUCUAACUUAGUUGAGUUUAUGAUUUUUAGAUCUGUUAUGUUUCUCAAUGUCCUUUUAGUGCUACAAGAAGUUUAAGGUUUCAACUCCCUUCACGUUGUUGUUAGUGUGUGUAUUAUUUAACUUGUGAUGAUAUAAGGUUGGACCCAACAUGGAAGAAACAAAAUUUAUGGAUAACCAUUUUUGUUUGAUUUUUCAUGUCUUAAGUUGUAUUCAAGUUAUGAAACGUUUUUAAGUGUGCCGUGCGUGUUAAGUAAUGAUUUUCCAUCUUCCUUUGAUUUACCUCAGAGUUGGAAUAGACCUUCCCAAAGUGGAAGUUCGAUAUGAACAUUUGAAUAUUGAGGGAGAAGCGGUUUUAGCAAGUAAAGCCUUGCCAUCAUUCAUUAAAUUCUAUACCACCAUCUUUGAGGUAGCAAUCUUCGGACACAAAUAAUUACUUUUGUAAAAAUUUUAGUAUAUUGAGUUAAUCUCUCGGCUUUAGUUUAAUAAUCUGUACAUGUUUGAAGGAUUUCUUGAACUAUCUCCACAUUCUUCCGAGUAGAAAGAAACACUUUACAAUCCUCAAGGAUGUGAGUGGAAUCAUAAAGCCUGGCAGGUGGGAAUUUGAAUUGAUUCCUACUGUUCUUAAUUUACUUGUAAUUUGUGGGUUCUUUAAUUAUCUGAAAUUUGUGCAGAAUGACAUUGCUUUUGGGUCCUCCAGCUUCUGGAAAGACCACAUUUUUGUUGGCUUUGGCCGGGAAACUUGAUUCUAGUCUCAAGGUGCUGAGUUUAACUUUUGUGAAAAUUAAGCUCUUGGAUUGGAUGGGUUUGGCUUUUAGCAUUGUAAAGUUCACACUUUGGUUUUAUCUCUGAUUGGAGAAUCAAAAUGUCUCUCUAUAGGUAUCUGGUAGUGUGACAUACAACGGGCACAACAUGGAUGAGUUUGUGCCUCAGAGAACAGCUGCUUAUAUCAGUCAACAUGAUAACCAUAUAGGCGAAAUGACUGUGAGGGAAACCUUGGCCUUCUCUGCUAGAUGCCAGGGGGUUGGAACCCGAUAUGGUAGGUUUUAUAUAGAGAAUUCAGAUUACAGUAUGGUGACUUACUAAAUGUAAUAUUAGCAUAAAGAUCAUUGCUUCUGGGAAAUGCAGACAUGUUAAUGGAGUUAGCCAGAAGAGAGAAGGCAGCAGGUAUUAAGCCAGAUCCCGACAUUGAUGUCUACAUGAAGGUGAGAAAAGUUGGCUGAAGUUUGUUUAGAACAUGUUUAGCAUUUAACCAUUUGAUGAUAGAUGGUUUCAAUUUUAACCUUUCAUUCGGUCUGAUGUUCUUGUGGCUUAAGAAUCCUAGUAUACGCAUCGUUUUCUUAAAUUGAAAUUUACCUUACGGACUUAAAUUAGAUUCAACCUUAUAGAGAUGUAUUUGAACUCUUGGUGAUUGAGUUUCUCAUAUUUCAUUUUUAAUUUCUCAUGUCUCAGGCAGUAGCGACUGAAGGCCAAGAAGCCAAUGUGAUCACUGAUUAUUACCUAAAGGUAACAUAACUAUAACUCACUCUAAAAUUGCAAAUUAUUCUCAAUAACAAGUAACUACUCACACUUGUUUGAACACUUUUCAUCACAAAUAUAUAGGUUCUGGGACUGGAUAACUGUGCUGAUAUCUUGGUAGGUGAUGAAAUGAUAAGAGGUAUAUCCGGUGGACAAAAGAAACGUGUGACCACAGGUAUAAGACAAACUCCAUAAAUUCAUUCCUAAUUUGCUCCAGAUAAAUGAAAAAGAUCAUCCCUUUUAUUCAAAUGUAUGAAAAUUUGUAAUUGAAAUUAUAGGUGAAAUGAUGGUUGGACCAGCGUUGGCAAUGUUUAUGGAUGAGAUUUCCACUGGUUUAGACAGCUCGACGACUUUUCAAAUUGUCAAUUGUCUCAGGCAAAAUAUUCACAUCAAUAGUGAAACUGCCGUGAUAUCUCUCCUGCAGCCAGCACCAGAGACUUAUAAUCUAUUUGAUGAUAUUAUCCUUCUAUCUGAUGGCCAGAUUGUGUACCAGGGUCCCCGUGAACUAGUGCUAGAGUUUUUUGAAUCCAUGGGCUUUAAAUGCCCCCAGAGGAAAGGAGUGGCUGACUUCUUGCAAGAAGUAUGCACAAAUAGAUUUCUGUUUUUGACAUUUUUCAUUGACAGGAAAAAAGCAAGCUCUUUGACAAUAUGAGCUUCAUUUCCUUUAUUUAUAAAUAACGCGGUAGCUUAGGUGUAACUUCUCAUAUUCAAUCUUUUCAAAUAAUAUGUUGCAGGUGACAUCAAAGAAAGAUCAACAGCAGUAUUGGGCACAUAAAGAGAUACCUUACAGGUUUAUUACAGUCCAAGAAUUUGCUGAGGCAUUCAAAUCAUUCCAUGUGGGACAAAAACUCGCUGAUGAGCUUCAAAUACCAUUUGAUAAGAGCCAAAGCCACCGAGCUGCUUUGGCUAAGAAAGUGUAUGGUGUUGGCAAGAGAGAGUUGUUGAAAGCUUGCUUCUCAAGAGAGUUUUUACUGAUGAAGAGAAACUCAUUUGUCUACAUCUUUAAGCUCGUCCAAGUGAGUAUUAACUUAGUUCUUAGUUGUUUUAGUUUUUCUUUAAGUGAUAAUGAUUGUUUCUUUUUUUCCUGGCUACUAGAUUGCAAUUACCGCAUUGGUAACUAUGACACUGUUCUUCAGAACGAAGAUGAAGAAAGAUUCAGUAGCUGAUGGAGGAGUUUACGCUGGUGUCAUGUUCUUUGCUAUUGUAAUAGUCAUGUUCAAUGGAUAUGCAGAGAUUUCUAUGACCAUAGUAAAGAUUCCUGUCUUCUACAAGCAAAGAGACCUCCGAUUCUUUCCACCGUGGGCAUAUGCUCUUCCCACAUGGAUCCUCAAGAUUCCUAUCUCAUUCAUGGAGGUUGUUGUUUGGGUAUUCGUAUCCUAUUAUGUUAUUGGGUAUGAUCCCAAUGCUGGAAGGUAAAUGAAGAUAAAAAGAACAAAAUUUGCUAGUAACCACUGAAGUUUUUGUUACAUUAUUUAUUUGUCCAACUAGUUUACGUGGUGAUUUUCUUAUUGCAGGUUUUUUAAGCAGUACUUUCUGCUCUUGGCGGUUAACCAAAUGGCUUGUGCAUUGUUCCGAUUCAUUGCAGCAACAGGCAGGAACAUGGUUGUUGCUAAUACGUUUGGGACAGUAGCAUUACUCGUGCUUUUCGCAUUGGGUGGAUUUCUCCUUUCACGAGGUACGAUAGGAAAAUGAAUUAACAACAAUAAUAUUCUCUCUUAAAGUUUAACCUGAAUCCUCAUUUUUCCUAUUAAUAUUGCAGAGGACAUAAAAAAAUGGUGGAUAUGGGGUUAUUGGUGUUCUCCUUUGAUGUAUGCACAAAAUGCAAUAGUAGCUAACGAAUUUCUUGGGCACAGUUGGAGAAAGGUAAAUCUCUGAAUGAGCCUUGUCCACGAUUAUGUACUUUUCUUUUAGUAACGUGUUGAUAUCUGUAAAUUUUUUCAUAUAAUAGUUUACGCCAGACUCAAAUGAACCACUUGGAGUGCAAGUUUUGAAGUCUCGUGGGUUUUUCCCAGAUGCAUAUUGGUAUUGGCUUGGAUUGGGGGCUCUGUUUGGUUUUGUACUACUAUUGCACAUUGCUUUUACUCUGGCCCUUACUUUUCUUAACCGUGGGUAUCUUUACCAUCUUCACUUUAAUUACUUCAAAAGUAGUGAGUUUAUGUUGUAAUCUUGUGCAACUAUUCAUGCACAGAAUUUGAUAAGCCUCAGGCUGUUAUAACUGAGGAUUCUGAGAGAAAUGAGCAAGAUACCAAAAUUAGAGGAACAGUUGAGUUAUCAACUCUUGGAAGUAGUUCUAGUCUCACAACUCGCUCAGGUGAUAAAGCUCCUUUCAAUACAUAUAAAAUGAGAUACUUUGUGAAUGCCUUCUGAUGCUAAUUAAUUAUUAAUUGUUGUUAACAUUCAGAGAGUGGAGGCGACAUUUGGGGGAGAAACUCUUCUUCUCAGUCCUUAUCCAUGACAGAGGCAGCUGGUGGUGUAAUUCAACCAAAGAAAAGAGGAAUGGUGCUUCCAUUUGAACCGCAUUCUCUUAUCUUUGAUGAAGUAACGUACUCUGUUGACAUGCCACAGGUAACUUUAAUUUUAAAACCUAUUAAUACAUUUCACAAGUACCGAUGUUAUCUUGAUUAAUCAUAAUGUAGUCCAGAAAUGAUGAAUAAUUGGUCUAAUUUAACUUUUUAGGAAAUGAAACUUCAAGGUGUUCUUGAAGACAAAUUGGUGCUUCUAAAUGGUGUCAGUGGUGCUUUCAGACCAGGCGUUCUUACAGCUUUAAUGGGUGUUAGUGGUGCUGGUAAAACAACUUUGAUGGAUGUGCUGGCUGGCAGGAAAACGGGUGGAUAUAUUACAGGGAGUAUUAAAAUAUCUGGUUACCCAAAGAAGCACGAAACAUUUGCUCGCAUUUCAGGAUACUGUGAACAAAAUGACAUCCACUCUCCUUUUGUUACAGUUCAUGAGUCUUUGGCCUUCUCGGCCUGGCUUCGUUUAGCUCCCGAAGUUGAUUCUGAAACUAGAAAGGUUUGUACUGAAUUCACCUGGAGUGUGGAUUAUUGAGAGCUUAAACAAGUUGAACUGAGUCCACUAGAAGAAGAGAAACAGCUCUAAUCCCUGAAUGCAUUACUGGAUAUUGUUACUAAUUUAUAGCUUCUCCCUUGGUUUACAGAUGUUUAUUGAGGAAAUCAUGGAGCUUGUGGAGCUGAACCCAUUGAGACAAUCACUGGUUGGUUUGCCUGGUGUAAAUGGUCUGUCAACAGAGCAGCGUAAGAGGCUUACCAUUGCGGUUGAGCUCGUGGCUAACCCGUCUAUCAUAUUUAUGGAUGAGCCAACCUCAGGGCUAGACGCGAGGGCUGCUGCAAUUGUUAUGAGAACUGUUAGAAACACAGUGGACACUGGAAGAACUGUAGUGUGCACCAUCCAUCAACCAAGCAUUGAUAUAUUUGAAUCUUUUGAUGAGGUAAUUAGAGAACUUAAUACUGGAUCAAAGGAGUCAAAACUUUAUCCUUUUAGUUUCAUCUUAUUCCCUUUCUUCAGUUUUUUUCCUGUAUGUUGAUUACAAUUGUUUAAUUAUACAUUGCAGUUAUUCUUAAUGAAGCGAGGGGGACAAGAUAUUUAUGUUGGUCCAUUGGGUCGACAUUCUUGUCAUCUUAUCCGCUAUUUUGAAGUAUGACCUGAUGAACAUUCACAUAUUACAAUGGAAAUCUAAUUUGAAAUUUAAUUUUGAAGUAGCUUGCAUAAUUUACAUCAGGAAACUCGCUGAUGUUUCUGUAUUUGUUUUCAUGAAGGCAAUUCCCGGAAUUGAAAAAAUAAAAAAUGGUUAUAAUCCCGCUACCUGGAUGUUGGAAGUUACUGCUGCAUCCCAAGAGGUAGCUUUGGGGGUUGAUUUUACUGAUAUUUUCAAACGCUCAGAAUUAUACAGGUACGUUCAUGAGGUACUCAUCAGUUGCAUAUACUAUUAAUUAACUACAAUCCAUUCACCCCUAAGCCAAUGCAUUUGUUUAUGUCACCAUGAAAGCUGAAGUGAUGCGUGGCAUGUGUUUCAGGGGAAACAAAGCACUUAUUGAAGAUUUAAGCAAGCCUACUCCAGGUUCAAAGGACCUCUAUUUUCCUACUCAGUACUCUCAGUCAGCUUUCACCCAAUUUAUCGCCUGCUUAUGGAAGCAACACUGGUCAUACUGGCGGAAUCCACCAUACACUGCUGUUAGAUUUUUUUUCACGACCUUAAUAUCAUUGAUGUUUGGAACACUGUUUUGGGACUUGGGCACUAAAACGUGAGCCACUCUUACAUUUUAUUUGAAGCCUGUUGUUUCAUCUGCCUUUUAAUCUUAAGUUUUUCAAUUUUCAGGGGAAAGAACCAAGAUCUGUUUAAUGCAAUGGGUUCCAUGUACAUUGCUGUUCUGUUCAUCGGCGUUCAAUACUGUUUUUCAGUGCAACCAAUAGUAUCUGUAGAGAGAACAAUCUUUUACAGAGAAAGUGCUGCCGGAAUGUACUCAGGCCAACCAUGGGCAUUAGCACAAGUAAAUUGCUUGACACUUGAUUACAAAUAUUUUGAAAUGUAUUAAGAAUUGUGUUUCUAUACUGAUUUUUUUUUCCUUUUUCUCCAGGCUGCGAUUGAGAUACCUUAUAUUUUUAUUCAGUCAUCACUGUACGGUGUUCUAGUCUAUGCUAUGAUUGGAUUUGACUGGACAGCAGCGAAGUUUUUUUGGUACAUAUUUUUCAUGUUCUUCACUUUGUUGUACUUCACCUUCUACGGCAUGAUGGCUGUGGCUAUGACACCAAACCACCACAUUGCUGCCAUUGUUUCAACUCUAUUUUUUGGAUUGUGGAACGUCUUUACUGGUUUUUUAAUCCCAAGACCUGUAAGUAUC
Molecule: long non-coding RNA, 63009 nt
Filed under: Citrus sinensis (sweet orange)
Lineage: Eukaryota; Viridiplantae; Streptophyta; Magnoliopsida; Sapindales; Rutaceae
Description: long non-coding RNA (CSIN_LNC000259)
Source: RNAcentral